UGCAGUUCUCUAUCAAUGAUACGGAAAUCACCACUUAGUCCUGGUUUUAGCUCUGUGUUUUGCAUAGAGUCAAUGAGCAGAGAUCCCACUUCUGAGGUUCUAAGUGCAUCUAGGUCUGUUAAGUUCUCUCUAGUGUCUGGUUUCUUUAAUUUUGGGAUAGCAGUAGUGCCCACUUUCUCUACUGCUUCUGCUAAUAAGGUGAUGCUAUCAUAUGCCCAUAGCCCGAAAACAUUGAGUUCUACUUGGUCCAUGUCUGGAUACUCUUGACGAAAUCUCUUUCUCCAUCUCUUGGUGAACAUGUCAAGCUCAUUUGAUCUUGUAACAUAAGAUUUUACACCCAGAACACCUUGCAUUGAUGACUCAAUUACUGAAGUAUCUACCAGGUUCCAUAGGGGCUUUCCUCAUAGAUUACUACAACCUCCCUCCAAUUAUAGUUUUUAACAAUUGCUGCAAUGGCUUUAGUCUGACUGGAAGAAGGAAGUGCUCCUCUGAUGAAGAAGGGAUUUUCCUUGACUGUAAGUAAAGGACUUGUUGCUGGAGAAAUUAUAGGGACUUUUACUCUGUUCCCUAAGUCGAUCACAAAAUCAGUUUGAGUAGACAUUUGUGGCCCAAAGAUAGCUUGCACUUGGACAUCCUUUAGCAAGUAUAUGGCUGCACAUACACAAUCAGACUUAUAAGUAAUUGUCUGAACAUCUCUUUCAAAAUAGAAAAACUAAAGGGAAAAGUAAUAUCUUAGAGAAAAAGUGAAUCUUUUGAAGCAAAGAGAGAGAGAUAAUGCUAGUUUAACAUAGGUAAAGCUUAGAGCUGAAUUUUACCAGCUGAUGCUGCUUCAACAUCAUCUUUCUUUGAAUCCCUGAUAUGAGGAACUAUCCUUAUGGCACCGCGACUAGUGUUGGCAUGAUAAUCCGCAAGAGCUAGUAAGAUAGAUAUGUGCAUUACUUUUCCUACUUCUGUUUCCAGAUCAAGAAUUAUUCCCACAUCCAUCUUUACAGCACUAGUGUUAUUAUCUUCACCUCUUAUUCCAAUUACAUAGUGGCAAAAACCAAUGAUGGAAACAAGUUGAAUGAAGAUAAUUAGGGAUUUGCAUCUUGGAUUAUGCAUUUGAAAAACUCUAGUAGACAGUAAUAUGAGAGCUGGACAAGAAGCAGUUGUGGUUGUGCAAGAUAUAUAACUAUAACUUUUCUAUAAUUAAAAUAAAACCAUACCUCAUAACUGCAGAAAGAAAAGUCAAAGUUUUUCAAGAAUAACAAAUGGUUUAAAAUAUUACUUCUAGUUUGAUUCUUAAAGAAAGAGGACUUUUCACACUUGUUAGACCACAAGCUAGUAAAGNNNNNNNNNNNNNNNNNNNNNNNNNNNNNNNNNNNNNNNNNNNNNNNNNNNNNNNNNNNNNNNNNNNNNNNNNNNNNNNNNNNNNNNNNNNNNNNNNNNNNNNNNNNNNNNNNNNNNAUUCAUCUUCAGUUUAUGCGAAAUGCCAUCCUUCUCUGUCCAGAAUCCAACGACUUUCUCUCCUUUCCCGAUUAUAUUCACAAUCUGAUAUGGGUACGGCUGCAGUUCUCUAUCAAUGAUACGGAAAUCACCACUUAGUCCUGGUUUUAGCUCUGUGUUUUGCAUAGAGUCAAUGAGCAGAGAUCCCACUUCUGAGGUUCUAAGUGCAUCUAGGUCUGUUAAGUUCUCUCUAGUGUCUGGUUUCUUUAAUUUUGGGAUAGCAGUAGUGCCCACUUUCUCUACUGCUUCUGCUAAUAAGGUGAUGCUAUCAUAUGCCCAUAGCCCGAAAACAUUGAGUUCUACUUGGUCCAUGUCUGGAUACUCUUGACGAAAUCUCUUUCUCCAUCUCUUGGUGAACAUGUCAAGCUCAUUUGAUCUUGGAACAUAAGAUUUUACACCCAGAACACCUUGCAUUGAUGACUCAAUUACUGAAGUAUCUACCAGGUCCAGAAGACUCGUCAGCACAUCAGUGAUGAUCCAUGCAUAUCCACUGUUCAUCAUCCCGGCUUCUUUGGCCUUGAGGAAAAGGCGGGAGGCAAGAUUUUCUUGCAAGUGCACAAUGAACACCCUGGUCUGCAUUGUCUUCAACUUGUAUAGCUCCCUGAGGAUUUGAUCAUCAUUGGCUGAAGGAGAAAUACCACUUCUAUAGGAGACUAAAGUAUUGAUUUCCAGCAAGGCAUCAGUCAAAUAUGGAAGUAUCCCGGUUCCAUAGGGGCUUUCCUCAUAGAUUACUACAACCUCCCUCCAAUUAUAGUUUUUAACAAUUGCUGCAAUGGCUUUAGUCUGACUGGAAGAAGGAAGUGCUCCUCUGAUGAAGAAGGGAUUUUCCUUGACUGAAAGUGAAGGACUAGUUGCUGGAGAUAUUAUAGGAACUCUAACUCUGUUCCCCAAGUCGAUCACAAAAUCAGUUUGUGUAGACAUUUGUGGCCCAAAGAUAGCUUGCACUUGGACAUCCUUUAGCAAGUAUAUGGCUGCACAUACACAAUCAGACUUAUAAGUAAUUGUCUGAACAUCUCUUUCAAAAUAGAAAAACUAAAGGGAAAAGUAAUAUCUUAGAGAAAAAGUGAAUCUUUUGAAGCAAAGAGAGAGAGAUAAUGCUAGUUUAACAUAGGUAAAGCUUAGAGCUGAAUUUUACCAGCUGAUGCUGCUUCAACAUCAUCUUUCUUUGAAUCCCUGAUAUGAGGAACUAUCCUUAUGGCACCGCGACUAGUGUUGGCAUGAUAAUCCGCAAGAGCUAGUAAGAUAGAUAUGUGCAUUACUUUUCCCACAUCUGUUUCCAGAUCAAGAAUUAUGCCCACAUCCACCUUUACAGCACUAGUGUUAUUAUCUUCACCUCUUAUUCCAAUUACAUAGUGGCAAAAGCUAAUGAUGGAAACAAGUUGAAUGAAAAUAAUUAGGAAUCUGCAUCUUGGAUUAUGCAUUUGAAAAACUCUAGUAGACAGUAAUAUGAGAGCUGGACAAGAAGCAGUUGUGGUUGUGCAAGAUAUAUAACUAUAACUUUUCUAUAAUUAAAAUAAAACCAUACCUCAUAACUGCAGAAAGAAAAGUCAAAGUUUUUCAAGAAUAACAAAUGGUUUAAAAUAUUACUUCUAGUUUGAUUCUUAAAGAAAGAGGACUUUUCACGCUUGUUAGACCACAAGCUAGUAAAGCCUCCUCUUCAGUUUUGACCAAAUCAAUAAAUGUCUAAAUGAACAUAGUGACAAAAUUGAUUGGUACGCAUUCUCCCAAUUAUAUAUAACCUAUGACGUUUGUGUAUUUAUUUGAUGACUAUCUAGAGUCUAUUAAAAGGACUUCCCACAUUUUGGCUAAGUCAUGCAUGGUGAAAGUUGAGAGCUAGCUCAGAUACAAAUAAGUAGAAGAGACCAUUGUUUCUAUGACUUGGAAAAGAGUAGCUAUGACUAGUAAUCUUUAGCUUACACGGUUUCAGUUUAGAAUUGGUCAGUAGUAUUAACUUGCUUGCAUUUUUAUUUUAUUUUAAGAUGAGUGGAACUUUUUUUUUUUUUGGCUUUUUCUAAUUGUUAAUCUUAUAUAUUUUUUAAAUUUAUUUGUGAAAUUUGCAUAAAUAGCAAUCUUUUUUAUUUUAAGAUGAGUGGAACUUCUCUUCUUUUUUUUUUUUUGCUUUUUCUAAUUGUUGAUCUUAUAUUUUUUUAAUUAAUUUUUAUUUGUGAGGUUUGCAUAAAUAGCCGAAGAGGUUCAAACCCACAACUCUAGCAUGGGAAAGCAUUCCCAAGACCCCUUCCUUACCACUAAGCCAUCAAUUAGUUUUGUUAAGGGGUUCACAAGUUAAAAUACAUAUAUAUUUAUUUAAUUUUUUAAUACAAGUAGAGGGUUUAUGGAAAAGCUAUUGGGUUCGCCCGAACCCCCACUAAGAUAGGCAUAAAAGUAUCAAUACAUUUAUUUUUAUGAAGGUAAAUACCAUUAGAUGUAACUUUUCAAGAAUGAAAACAUGUAUUAAAACAAAACUGAAAAGAGUAAUAACAUAAGUGAGAAAAAAGACAAGAAAUGUAGAGAGACAAGAGAGAGUUUUCUUAUUCUUCCAAGUAUAAUCAAGUGUUUUUCAAAUCUUCAAGUGCAUAACACAAUCUCAAGACCUCUAUUUAUAUUGUUAUAAAAAGGCAUACAAAGAUAUAACAAUAACCAUGAUAUUAAUUUUUGAGAAUGUAGGGAAGAUCAAGGGAUAACAAUAAACAUGAUAUUAAUUUUUGAGAAUGUAGGGAAGAUCAAGGGGUGUAGAAGAUAAAUGAGGAGAUGGUGAAGGUGCGAGUAUUAUUACAUAUAAUGGUGAAAUUACACCUUGAAGUUAUGGACAUCCACAUUAAUAUAAUAUAUUUACAACAAAACAUUAAUUACAUAUAAAUUAUAACUAAAUUAAAAAUGAUGAGAAAAACAUAAAAAUGCCCCCAAAAAAGGAGAAAAAAAUUAAAUAUGAAUAGAGAUCAUAGAGAGGUGUCACGUCACUUUGUCUAUAUCUAGCUUUAUUUUAUAUAUAUAAGUAAGAAUAGAGGUCAUAGCCUAUAUCUAGCUUUAUUAUAUAUAUAGAUUUUUCUUCAAUUUUUGUUGGUUUUCUCUUUUUAAAUUUAAUUAUGUAAUACGUAAUAAUAAAAAAAAAACAAGAGCCUUAUUUUCCCCCAAUUUUCAUUGGUUUUUUCUUUUUAAAAUUUAUUUAUGUAAAUAUAUUCUUUUUAAAAUUUAUUUAUGUAAUUAUUAUUUUUUUGGAAUAUUUUUAAUAGCUCAAAAAAAAUUAAUACAAUUGAAUGAAAAGAGAAAAUCGGGUUAUUUUAAUCAAAAUUGAACAAUUUGAGUUGAUUUGGGGCUUUCCGUCAAAAGAGGGGUAUAUAUAUGGUGAAAUUAGUAACGGUAGGGAAAAAACUAACUUCACUUUAACGGUAAGGGCAUAGUCAACCAAUAAAACAAAAUUAAGGGGUGUUUUUGACCCUUUUCCCUAAUCUUUUUCAUAGGUAGCAGUGGAUACUGGAUACAUUUGUUAUAGUCAUAUACUCAAUAAUAUAGUAAUUUUUGUUUAUAUUUUUUAUGAACUGAAAUUGCAAGAAUUAUCAUUUAAUAAGCGAGUUUUCAAUUUUUGUUCUUCAACGGUCGAAUUUAUAUCUAGUAAAAUAUAUAUUCUGUAAAGGAGAAAAGUCAUGUAAGGCAUAAGUUGCGGAUAUUAUAAUGCAAGUAUGUAUAUAUAUAUAUCAGAAAAUAAUUUAUCUUGAACACAAAAAUUAAAAAUUAGCACAAAAUAAGGACAAAAGUGCAAUAUAUGUAUAUAUAUGUGUUAUCAGAAAGCUAUUUAUCUUGAACACAAAAAUUAAAAAUUAGCACAAAAUAAGGACAUAAGUGCAAUAUAUGUAUAUAUAUGUGUUAUCAGAAAGUUAUUUAUCUCGAACACAAAAACUAAAAAUUAGCACAAAAUAAGGUCAAAAGUGCAAAAAUUUUAUACUUUCGCUCUCCCGACUCAAGCUAAUACGUUAAAAAUUAAUGGGAAAAUUAUACAUAAUAGUAAAUAUUUAGCCUGUAUUAGGUGAUAUAGCUAUAGUUUUAGAAAAUUGUAAUUCGCGGCUAUAAUUUUUUCAAUUCUUGCUAUUGACCUGAUUUGUAUAAUUCGCAUAAUUUGUAUAAAUCUAGAAUUUGUAUAAUUCGGUUCCUAAUAGUAAAAAUCUAGAAUUGUGUAUAUGUUUACCCUAGUUAUUUGUAUACGAUUUAUUAUUUAUAAUAAAUUACCUUGUUUGUAUAUCGACAAGCGAAAUAUAUAAAUGGAGUUCUGAAAAAUUCAUAAAUGUAUAAAUACAUAAUUUGUAUAUAUUUAUCCUAUUGGUAUAUUCACAAGCGAAAUAUACAAACGUGCAGAAAUAUACAAACCACAGCCUCCAUAUCAAACAGAACUAUAGCUAUGGAGCGCAGUUAUUAGAGCUUUAUUAUGUUUGCUAUUUCUAAAAUUUUCUCAAAAUUAAAAUAGACUAUGUUUUUCGGUCUUAUUUCAAUAGGCUCAUAUGGUAUAUAAUUUGAAAGCCUAGGUUUUUUUUGUUUUUUUAUAUCAAUAUUCUUUCAACUUAGCCGAUUGACAAUUAAUUAAAUCGAUGACAAAAAUAUUGAUUUCGUAAAUUUGAGUGAUGAAAAUCAAAUUAGAAAAGUAACUAACAAAUGGAAUAUUUUAUGUUAGUGAAUGAAUGAAAUUAUAGGCCUCUUAAUUACAAGAUUUAGAUAAUCUUCUUUCUUUUGAAUUAAUUUUUGAGGUGUGAAUUAUACUCAAAAUAUAAUUUAACAUGACAUUAAAGACAAACCUGAUGUGGGCUCCCAGGAAACCAAACAAUUGCGGAGGUGGAAAUUAUUUUCUAUUCAUGAAUGUGAGCAUGUGACACACCGAAUUGGAUCAUUAUUAUAAUGCAAGUAUGUAUAUAUAUAUAUCAGAAAAUAAUUUAUCUUGAACACAAAAAUUAAAAAUUAGCACAAAAUAAGGACAUAAGUGCAAUAUAUGUAUAUAUAUGUGUUAUCAGAAAGUUAUUUAUCUCGAACACAAAAACUAAAAAUUAGCACAAAAUAAGGUCAAAAGUGCAAAAAUUUUAUACUUUCGCUCUCCCGACUCAAGCUAAUACGUUAAAAAUUAAUGGGAAAAUUAUACAUAAUAGUAAAUAUUUAGCCUGUAUUAGGUGAUAUAGCUAUAGUUUUAGAAAAUUGUAAUUCGCGGCUAUAAUUUUUUCAAUUCUUGCUAUUGACCUGAUUUGUAUAAUUCGCAUAAUUUGUAUAAAUCUAGAAUUUGUAUAAUUCGGUUCCUAAUAGUAAAAAUCUAGAAUUGUGUAUAUGUUUACCCUAGUUAUUUGUAUACGAUUUAUUAUUUAUAAUAAAUUACCUUGUUUGUAUAUUGACAAGCGAAAUAUAUAAAUGGAGUUCUGAAAAAUUCAUAAAUGUAUAAUACAUAAUUUGUAUAUAUUUAUCCUAUUGGUAUAUUCACAAGCGAAAUAUACAAACGUGCAGAAAUAUACAAACCACAGCCUCCAUAUCAAACAGAACUAUAGCUAUGGAGCGCAGUUAUUAGAGCUUUAUUAUGUUUGCUAUUUCUAAAAUUUUCUCAAAAUUAAAAUAGACUAUGUUUUUCGGUCUUAUUUCAAUAGGCUCAUAUGGUAUAUAAUUUGAAAGCUUAGGUUUUUUUGUUUUUUUAUAUCAAUAUUCUUUCAACUUAGCCGAUUGACAAUUAAUUAAAUCGAUGACAAAAAUAUUGAUUUCGUAAAUUUGAGUGAUGAAAAUCAAAUUAGAAAAGUAACUAACAAAUGGAAUAUUUUAUGUUAGUGAAUGAAUGAAAUUAUAGGCCUCUUAAUUACAAGAUUUAGAUAAUCUUCUUUCUUUUGAAUUAAUUUUUGAGGUGUGAAUUAUACUCAAAAUAUAAUUUAACAUGACAUUAAAGACAAACCUGAUGUGGGCUCCCAGGAAACCAAACAAUUGCGGAGGUGGAAAUUAUUUUCUAUUCAUGAAUGUGAGCAUGUGACACACCGAAUUGGAUCAUGAAAUCUCAUAUAAAGAAUUUGGAUUUGUACGGUAUAUAUGAGGAUAAUAAUGAAAGAAAUGUCUCACAUCAAUGAUAAAUAAAAUCCUAAGCUUCGUUGUUCAACAAGUGAAUUCAAAUUUUUAGAUUCUUUAAUAUCUUGAUGUUAAACUAAAAAAUAUUGGUUUAUAAUUACUCUUAAUUAUUUAAUUUUUUGUCGGUUUGCUUCACGGGUGUGAUUAGCAAGGGAUAAUCAUUCAUUUUGUGGCAUGUAUAAUUAAUAAUUACUAGUGUAUUUGUCCGCGCUUUGCGUGUGUAUAAAAAAAUAUUAAAUAUAUUUUUAAAUAAUUAAUGUUAUUAUUUGAUAAAUAUUCUAAUAAAUAAUAUAAUAAAAGGGAGAAACACAAAUUAAGUUACGAUUUUGAUAUUAUCUAUUCAGAAAAAUUGUUAAAAAAGUUUCAUGCUACAGUUUCAAUUUAAAAUUGCUGAUAAAAAGAUGAAAAUAUAAAAUUGAUAUGAAAAGCUUUAGUUAAAUAAACAAUCUAAUUAUCAUAGUUUCAUACUAAAUUUCAUGAUUUUAUAGCAAUAUUAUUGAUUCAACCAUUAAUAUUAAAUCUACUUUAUCGUAAAUUAUGUGACUUUCUUUUUUUGUAUAAAUGACUAUAUAAUAGAAAUAAGAAAAUCAAAAUAUAUUUGUGCUAAAUCAUCGUGAGGGAAAAAAUAUUUGAAUUAUAUUCGAACAUAGUUAUACACAAAAUUCAAAAGUUAGAGAUUUUUUUUCGAUAUCCGAUGCUCAUAGUGACACUCAUUUGAUACAUAUUUGUGUCGCAUAAUGAUAUCCGAUGCACGUAGUGACACUCAUUUGAUACAUAUUUGUGUCGCAUAAGAUCCAUUAAUAUUUUAAUUUAUAUUUAAACUUUCAUUCUUAUAGUGUGCAUUGUGAAAAGAGAUACUUAAGUUGCUACAGUGAAACAUUACCGUUGAGGUUAUACUUUUACAAUAAAAAUUAAAUUAAAUUAAACACAUAAUUUUGUCGUAUUAAGAUUAUCAGAUAGUGAUGAAGAAAUAAUUUUUUUACAAAAGAUAUGAGUAUGUAGUGUUCAAGAUGUAGAAAAAGUAUCAAGAGUUAGAUAAAUUUUUUCAAUUUAUAUAUAUAUGUGGGACAAUAAAAGUUUAACAACAUCAAAAUAAUUAUUCCUAUUAUUACAAUUUUAUUGUUGUAAUUAUUAUAAAUAAAUUGGAGCAAUAACUCUCCAAAAGAUAACUCCAUUUUUUGAUGUGGGAAAAAUAAAAUAUUUUUUUUACUUUCAAUAAUAAUAAAUUUAAACACAAAUUUGUUAUUAAAGGAAUUAAAUGAUGAAAUUUAAAAAAUUUCUUGAUAAAUAAGAGAGUUGAAUAAAUUAUUUUUUAGUAUAUAUAUACACACACUUGAUUAUUUUUAGGGAAAAGGGUCAAAAAUAUUCUCAAUUUUAGUUUAUUAGUUAAAUAUACCCCUAUCGUUGAAACAAAGUUAUUCAUACCAUCACCGUUACUAAUUUCACCAUUUAUACCCCUCAAUUUACGGAAAUUCCUAAAUCAAACAAAAUUGACCCGAUUUCUUAAAAAAUGACUCAUUUUCCAUUUUAAACCUAUGACCGACCCAUCUAUCUAUCUUAAACCCAAAAGAAUUUAACCCAUUUUCUAUACCCAUUCUAAAAAGAAAAUUCAUUUGGAGCUACUUGGGAGAAUGAAUUAUAGGUGACAAAAAAGUGUUGAAAUGUAAAAAGAGUGACUCUAGUUUUAAUUAUUAAGUGUACGUGACAAAUUUUUAAUUAAUUUUUAAAAAUAAUUAUAUAGGUCCUCAAGUUUUUAUUUUUACACUUUCACCCAAAUUUAAGUAAACCCCUAAUUUCUAAAAUAGGAAAACCCCCAAAUCAGUUCUUUUUUGUUCUCUCCCAACGUCCCGCUCUUUUCACAUUUUUUUUGCUUCUAAUCUUCAUCACUAGGCGUGACCUGACUUCAAAGACAUUGUCGAGCAGCACCUAAACACACAAAAAUCGAUCCGAUCUAAGCACUUUUAGACGAGUAUGAUGACUCUACUAAUGGAGGAAAGAGAAGAAGGAGAGUGGCAUCGUGGUCGGCCAUGGCCGUUUCCGAAGCAAACUGUCGUCGCCGGAGCUCGAAGCAGACAAUUGGAGAGAAUCAAAGACAUAGAUUUUACCCAAAUAAUUAUAACAAAAAAAAUUAAACCAAUAAAAGAAAAUUCACAACCCCACCCCCUGUAAUGUCUUCCUCAAAGAUCCUACUCAUUUGCAGAAACAUCUACACACCCCAUCCUUCCCUCUAAUUUUUUUCUCCAAACUCUCCAAUUCCUUUUAGUGCGCACACACCUACACACUAUUUCUUUUUUCAUCAUUUUAGUGUAGUAUCUUUAUUCACUAUUAUUAGAAUUUAACUUUGUAAGGGAAUUGGUGAGAUAGGUAAAUGUGCUUCUCACAAAGAUGUCUGCUUUUUGCAGUCAUGCGAAGAGGCAGCGAUGAUGAUGUUCACUUUUUGAGCUAGCUAACUUUGGAAUCUGGAGAAAAAUAAUUUAAAAGGAAGAAUAAAAAAAGUUUGUAGAAAUGGUGGCUAAAGGGUAAGGAAAAUGAGUUAAAUUAUUUUGGGUUUAAGAUAGAUAGAUGGGUCAGGCAUGGGUUUAAAAUGGGAAAUAGGUCAUUUUUUAAUAAAUCGGGUCAAUUUUAUUUGAUUUGGGGAUUUCUGUCAAUUGAGGGGUAUAAACGGUGAAAUUAAUAACGGUGAGGGUAUAAAUAACUUUGUUUUAACGGUAUGGGUAUAUUCAACUAAUAAACUAAAAUUGAGGGGUAUUUUUGACCCUUUUCCCAUAUUUUUAUAAUGCCUUUAUUUAUAGGAUAACAAUAUAAAAUAUCAAAUGAUAUCAUGAACAUGACUAUUAAUAUGAUUUAAGAGAUAUGAUCAAGUCAUGAAAGUAAGGAAAAUAAAGACAAUUAAAUAUCAAAUGAUAUUAUGAACAUAAUUAUUAAUAUAAUUUAGGAGUUAUGAUCAUCAAAAGUCAUGAAAAUAAAAACAAUUAAAAUUUUCUAUUAAAAAAUAUAAAUAAAUGAAGGAAUAUAAUUGACAUAUUCAUUUUUGUACAACAAUAAGAUAUAUAUAAAUAAGAAAAAUUAUCAAAAAAUGAGAAAAAAAGAAGAUAAAUAUGAUUCUUGGCCAAAAAAAUGUGUCACGUCACUUUUCUUUUAUCUAGAUAAUUUAUAUGUUGGUAAAGAAAGUAGAUUGAGAGAGAAAAACAAUUUUACUAAGUCGUUUAUAUCCUAAUCAAGUCUAAAAAUACCCCUCAUUCAUCUAUUGAGCUAAAAAUACCCCUCCAUCCACCUUUUUGGUCCAUCUCUACCCCUUAAAAACUAACAACUACUUUUUAAAAAUUAUUAUUAUUAUUAUUUGUUACGUGUCAUUUUCUUAUUGGAUAAUUAAAUCUCAACCCAUUUAAUUUUCCCCUACCCACCCAUUGUAGUGAACAUGAUCAAACCCAAUUAGAAGACCCAUUAAAAAUAAUUGAUUGAAACUUUCUCCCCUAACCCCAAGCCUCUUUCUUCUUCCCUCUUUUCUUAUUCAAAAAUUUCAAGAUAAUAUUCAAUCAAAUAAUACAAUUUCCGCUGCAAUACUAACUUGAAGUUGAAGGAUUCAAGGAGUAUUGAUUUUUGCAGUCUUCUUUCCAUCACGUAAAAAAAACUACACCAAAAUCUAUCAAAAUUGCACCUGAGCUAUAACAAAACAGAAGCAAACCUGCACCUAUAUUAUACCACAAACUAAAUCAAAACUGUAAAGAAACAGAGGCCAAAAGGCAAUGAAAGUGCACCAUAAUGAGAUUAAAAACUGGACCAAAAUUUGAUGAUAAACAGCACCAAAGCUGGUCCAAAAACGAAAAUAAAAGUGGUUCAAAUUUACUUUAUUAACGAUGGAAUACAUUACAAUGAAAUUUACGAAUUAUUCCAACUCCUUAAACGUAAGAAUAUUAAUCAAACUAAACACAAUUUCACUAUCAUACCAACAAUAAUAGUAAUUAUAAUUAAGAACAUUAUACUAACUAGACACCAUCAACAAAUUUUCAUAUCAUACACUUAUCUAGAUUGCAUUGGACAUUGUAUCAUUUGAUUGAAAGUAGUCUAGAAAUAUUUUGAAUAAGAAAAGAGGGAAGAAGAAAGAGGCUUGGGGUUAGGGGAGAAAGAUUCAAUCAAUUUAUUUUUUAAUGGGUCUUCUAAUUGGGUUUGGGUCAUGUUCACUACAAUGGGUGGGUAGGGGAAAAUUAAAUGGGUUGAGAUUUAAUUUAUCCAAUAGGAAAAUGACAUGUAACAAAUAAUAAUAAUAAUUUUUUAAAAAAAAGUGAUUGUUAGUUUUAAGGGUAAAGAUGGACCAAAAAAGUGGAUGGAGGGGUAUUUUUUAGCCCAAUAGAUGAAUGAGGUAUAUUUUGUCGAGGGGGUUCGGGUGAACACUCUCCCUCCCUUGAUUUGCUCAUUGAUACUAUUAUUGUUAGUGCAAGAGGAAACUGCUAGGGAAGUUGCCUAUGAUCUAUGUUGGAGCAGAUGGGAUAUAAGAUUUUGAUUUGAUGGGUUCAAUUUUUAGAUUCUCAUCAUUGAGCCCGUUAUACUUUGAAAUUAUGGUGGGUUCAUGAUAUUAUAUUAUUAAUUAAAAUUUUAGUGAUUUUUCACAUAUACUUUUAUGAUCUGUGUCAAAAAUGCAAAGCUUAUACUUAUAUUCGCCAUCCGCCCUGUGUAACUGAACAUAUUACUGUUUAUCUUCCAUGUAGCAGUGAUCCUAAAACCUUUCCUUAUNNNNNNNNNNNNNNNNNNNNNNNNNNNNNNNNNNNNNNNNNNNNNNNNNNNNNNNNNNNNNNNNNNNNNNNNNNNNNNNNNNNNNNNNNNNNNNNNNNNNGUUAUUCAGCUGAAGAGGUUAGUUUUACCUUAGAAUUGAUCUUGUGAACAAGAUCAUCAUAGUUUUGAGAAGUUGGGCUAUGUGCUAUUGGAAAUGGAAUAAAUUCGUAAGGGACAUCAUAUUUCAAAGAUAAGAUGACUUCUUUGAAGACAUCUGGCCCUAAACCAGUUGUAAUUACUGCUUGUGUCGUUGGAUCUCUUUCCACUUUAAUGAAUUGCUCCAGCCCUCCUUUGUCUGGAACUCCAACCCUUAACUUCUUCCCACUUGUGGGUAUUUCCCAGCCUCUCGGAACAAUAGUAGAUUCACCAGGCCAAAUGAUGACCCCUAGUUGCUUAUUAUUAGUUUUAGCUGUUUUACCAUUCAUCUUCAGUUUAUGCGAAAUGCCAUCCUUCUCUGUCCAGAAUCCAACGACUUUCUCUCCUUUCCCGAUUAUAUUCACAAUCUGAUAUGGGUACGGCUGCAGUUCUCUAUCAAUGAUACGGAAAUCACCACUUAGUCCUGGUUUUAGCUCUGUGUUUUGCAUAGAGUCAAUGAGCAGAGAUCCCACUUCUGAGGUUCUAAGUGCAUCUAGGUCUGUUAAGUUCUCUCUAGUGUCUGGUUUCUUUAAUUUUGGGAUAGCAGUAGUGCCCACUUUCUCUACUGCUUCUGCUAAUAAGGUGAUGCUAUCAUAUGCCCAUAGCCCGAAAACAUUGAGUUCUACUUGGUCCAUGUCUGGAUACUCUUGACGAAAUCUCUUUCUCCAUCUCUUGGUGAACAUGUCAAGCUCAUUUGAUCUUGUAACAUAAGAUUUUACACCCAGAACACCUUGCAUUGAUGACUCAAUUACUGAAGUAUCUACCAGGUUCCAUAGGGGCUUUCCUCAUAGAUUACUACAACCUCCCUCCAAUUAUAGUUUUUAACAAUUGCUGCAAUGGCUUUAGUCUGACUGGAAGAAGGAAGUGCUCCUCUGAUGAAGAAGGGAUUUUCCUUGACUGUAAGUAAAGGACUUGUUGCUGGAGAAAUUAUAGGGACUUUUACUCUGUUCCCUAAGUCGAUCACAAAAUCAGUUUGAGUAGACAUUUGUGGCCCAAAGAUAGCUUGCACUUGGACAUCCUUUAGCAAGUAUAUGGCUGCACAUACACAAUCAGACUUAUAAGUAAUUGUCUGAACAUCUNNNNNNNNNNNNNAAAUUUAUUUGUGAAAUUUGCAUAAAUAGCAAUCUUUUUUAUUUUAAGAUGAGUGGAACUUUUUUUUUUUUUGGCUUUUUCUAAUUGUUAAUCUUAUAUAUUUUUUAAAUUUAUUUGUGAAAUUUGCAUAAAUAGCAAUCUUUUUUAUUUUAAGAUGAGUGGAACUUUUUUUUUUUUUGGCUUUUUCUAAUUGUUAAUCUUAUAUAUUUUUUAAAUUUAUUUGUGAAAUUUGCAUAAAUAGCAAUCUUUUUUAUUUUAAGAUGAGUGGAACUUCUUCUUUUUUUUUUUGCCUUUUCUAAUUGUUAAUCUUAUAUAUUUUUUAAUUUAUUUGUGAAAUUUGCAUAAAUAGCAAUCUUUUUUAUUUUAAGAUGAGUGGAACUUCUUCUUUUUUUUUUUGCCUUUUCUAAUUGUUAAUCUUAUAUAUUUUUUAAUUUAUUUGUGAAAUUUGCAUAAAUAGCAAUCUUUUUUAUUUUAAGAUGAGUGGAACUUCUCUUCUUUUUUUUUUUUUGCUUUUUCUAAUUGUUGAUCUUAUAUUUUUUUAAUUAAUUUUUAUUUGUGAGGUUUGCAUAAAUAGCCGAAGAGGUUCAAACCCACAACUCUAGCAUGGGAAAGCAUUCCCAAGACCCCUUCCUUACCACUAAGCCAUCAAUUAGUUUUGCUAAGGGGUUCACAAGUUAAUAUACAUAUAUAUUUAUUUAAUUUUUUAAUACAAGUAUAGAGUUUACAUAAAAGCUAUUGGGUUCGCCCGAACCCCCACUAAGAUAGGCAUAAAAGUAUCAAUACAUUUAUUUUUAUGAAGGUAAAUACCAUUAGAUGUAACUUUUCAAGAAUGAAAACAUGUAUUAAAACAAAACUGAAAAGAGUAAUAACAUAAGUGAGAAAAAAAGACAAGAAAUGUAGAGAGACAAGAGAGAGUUUUCUUAUUCUUCCAAGUAUAUUCAAGUGUUUUCCAAAUCUUCAAGUGCAUAAUACAAUCUCAAGACCUCUAUUUAUAUUGUUAUAAAAAGACAUACAAAGAGAUAACAAUAAACAUGAUAUUAAUUUUUGAGAAUGUAGGGAAGAUCAAGGGGUGUAGAAGAUAAAUGAGGAGAUGGUGAAGGUGUGAGUAUUAUUACAUAUAAUGGUGAAAUUACACCUUGAAGUUAUGGACAUCCACAUUAAUAUAAUAUAUUUACAACAAAACAUUAAUUACAUAUAAAUUAUAACUAAAUUAAAAAUGAUGAGAAAAACAUAAAAAUGCCCCCAAAAAAGGAGAAAAAAAUUAAAUAUGAAUAGAGAUCAUAGAGAGGUGUCACGUCACUUUGUCUAUAUCUAGCUUUAUUUUUAUUUUAUAUAUAUAUAUAUAUAUAUAUAUAAGAAUAGAGGUCAUAGCCUAUAUCUAGCUUUAUUAUAUAUAUAGAUUUUUCUUCAGUUUUUGUUGGUUUUCUCUUUUUAAAUUUAUUUAUGUAAUACGUAAUAAUAAUAAUAAUAAAAGAGCCUUAUUUUCCCCCAAUUUUCAUUGGUUUUUUCUUUUUUAAAAUUUAUUUAUGUAAAUAUAUUCUUUUUAAAAUUUAUUUAUGUAAUUUUAUUUUUUUUGGAAUAUUUUUAUAUCUAUUAUAUUUUUAAUAGCUCAAAAAAUAUUAAUUCAAUUGAAUGAAAAGAGAAAAUCGGGUUAUUUUAAUCAAAAUUGAACAAUUUGAGUUGAUUUGGGGCUUUCCGUCAAAUGAGGGGUAUAUAUGGUGAAAUUAGUAACGGUAGGGAAAAAACUAACUUCACUUUAACGGUAAAAGCAUAGUUUACCAAUAAAACAAAAUUAAGGGGUGUUUUUGACCCUUUUCCCUUAUCUUUUUCAUAGGUAGCAGUGGAUACUGGAUACAUUUGUUAAAGUCAUAUACUCAAUAAUAUAGUAAUUUUUGUUUAUAUUUUUUAUGAACUAAUGAAAUUGCAAGAAUUAUCACUUAAUAAGCGAGUUUUCAAUUUUUGUUCUUCAACGGUCGAAUUUAUAUCUAGUAAAAUAUAUAUUCUGUAAAGGAGAAAAGUCAUGUAAGGCAUAAGUUGCGGAUAUUAUAAUGCAAGUAUGUAUAUAUAUAUAUCAGAAAAUAAUUUAUCUUGAACACAAAAAUUAAAAAUUAGCACAAAAUAAGGACAAAAGUGCAAUAUUUGUAUAUAUAUGUGUUAUCUGAAAGUUAUUUAUCUUGAACACAAAAAUUAAAAAUUAGCACAAAAUAAGGACAUAAGUGCAAUAUAUGUAUAUAUAUGUGUUAUCAGAAAGUUAUUUAUCUCGAACACAAAAACUAAAAAUUAGCACAAAAUAAGGUCAAAAGUGCAAAAAUUUUAUACUUUCGCUCUCCCGACUCAAGCUAAUACGUUAAAAAUUAAUGGAAAAAUUAUACAAAAUAGUAAAUAUUUAGCCUGUAUUAGGUGAUAUAGCUAUAGUUUUAGAAAAUUGUAAUUUGCGGCUAUAAUUUUUUCAAUUCUUGCUAUUGACCUGAUUUGUAUAAUUCGCAUAAUUUGUAUAAAUCUAGAAUUUGUAUAAUUCGGUUCCUGAUAGUAAAAAUCCAGAAUUUUGUAUAUGUUUACCCUAGUUAUUUGUAUACGAUUUAUUAUUUAUAAUAAAUUACCUUGUUUGUAUAUUGACAAGCGAAAUAUAUAAAUGGAGUUCUGAAAAAUUCAUAAAUGUAUAAUACAUAAUUUGUAUAUAUUUAUCCUAUUGGUAUAUUCGCAAGCGAAAUAUACAAACCACAGCCUCCAUAUCAAACAGAACUAUAGCUAUGGAGCGCAGUUAUUAGAGCUUUAUUAUGUUUGCUAUUUCUAAAAUUUUCUCAAAAUUAAAAUAGACUAUGUUUUUCGGUCUUAUUUCAAUAGGCUCAUAUGGUAUAUAAUUUGAAAGCCUAGGUUUUUUUUGUUUUUUUAUAUCAAUAUUCUUUCAACUUAGCCGAUUGACAAUUAAUUAAAUCGAUGACAAAACUAUUGAUUUCGUAAAUUUGAGUGAUGAAAAUCAAAUUAGAAAAGUAACUAACAAAUGAAAUAUUUUAUGUUAGUGAAUGAAUGAAAUUAUAGGCUUCUUAAUUACAAGAUUUGGAUAAUUUUCUUUCUUUUGAAUUAAUUUUUAAAGUGUGAGUUGUACUCAAAAUCUAAUUUAACAUGACAUUAAAGACAAACCUGAUGUGGGCUCCCAGGAAACCAAACAAUUGCGGAGGUGGAAAUUAUUUUCUAUUCAUGAAUGUGAGCAUGUGACACACCGAAUUGGAUCAUGAAAUCUCAUAUAAAGAAUUUGGAUUUGUACGGUAUAUAUGAGGAUAAUAAUGAAAGAAAUGUCUCACAUCAAUGAUAAAUAAAAUCCUAAGCUUCGUUGUUCAACAAGUGAAUUCAAAUUUUUAGAUUCUUUAAUAUCUUGAUGUUAAACUAAAAAAUAUUGGUUUAUAAUUACUCUUAAUUAUUUAAUUUUUUGUCGGUUUGCUUCACGGGUGAGCAUGUAUAAUUAAUUACUAGUGUACUUGUCCGCGCUUCGCGUGUGUAUAAGAAAAUAUUAAAUAUAUUUUUAAAUAAUUAAUGCCAUUAUUUGAUAAAUAUUCUUAUAAAUAAUAUAAUAAAAGGGAGAAAUACAAAUUAAGUUACGAUUCUGAUAUUAUCUAUUCAGAAAAAUUGUUAAAAAAGUUUCAUGCUACAGUUUCAAUUUAAAAUUGCUGAUAAAAAAGAUGAAAAUAUAAAAAUUGAUAUGAAAAGCUUUAGUUAAAUAAACAAUCUAAUUAUCAUAGUUUCAUACUAAAUUUCAUGAUUUUAUAGCAAUAUUAUUGAUUCAACCAUUAAUAUUAAAUCUACUUUAUCGUAAAUUAUGUGACUUUUCUUUUUUUGUAUAAAUGACUAUAUAAUAGAAACAAGAAAAUCAAAAUAUAUUUGUGCUAAAAUCAUCGUGAGGGAAAAAAUAUUUUGAAUUAUAUUCGAACAUAGUUAUACACAAAAUUCAAAAGUUAGAGAUUUUUUUUCGAUAUCCGAUGCUCAUUUUUUUUUUGAUAUCCGAUGCACGUAGUGACACUCAUUUGAUACAUAUUUGUGUCGCAUAAGAUCCAUUAAUAUUUUAAUUUAUAUUUAAACUUUCAUUCUUAUAGUGUGCAUUGUGAAAAGAGAUACUUAAGUUGCUACAGUGAAACAUUACCGUUGAGGUUAUACUUUUACAAUAAAAAUAAAAUAAAAUUAAACACAUAAUUUUGUCGUAUUAAGAUUAUCAGAUAGCGAUGAAGAAAUAUUUUUUUUUAAAAAAAAAUGAGUAUGUAGUGUUCAAGAUGUAGAAAAAGUAUCAAGAGUUAGAUAAAUUUUUUCAAUUUAUAUAUAUAUAUGGGACAAUAAAAGUUUAACAACAUCAAAAUAAUUAUUCCUAUUAUUACAAUAUUAUUGUUGUAAUUAUUAUAAAUAAAUUGGAGCAAUAACUCUCCAAAAGAUAACUCCAUUUUUUGUAUGUGGGAAAAUAAAAUAAUUUUUUUACUUUUCAAUAAUAAUAAAUUUUAAACACAAAUUUGUUAUUAAGAGAAUCAAAUGAUGAAAUUUAAAAAAUUUACUUGAUAAAUAAGAGAGUUGAAUAAAUUAUUUUUUAGUAUAUAUAUAUAUACACACACACUUGAUUAUUUUUAGGGAAAAGGGUCAAAAAUAUCCUCAAUUUUAGUUUAUUAGUUAAAUAUACCCCUAUCGUUGAAACAAAGUUAUUCAUACCAUCACCGUUACUAAUUUCUCCAUUUAUACCCCUCAAUUGACGGAAAUCCCUAAAUCAAACAAAAUUGACUCGAUUUCUUAAAAAAUGACUCAUUUUCCAUUUUAAAACCAUGUCCGACCCAUCUAUCUAUCUUAAACCCAAAAGAAUUUAACCCAUUUUCUAUACCCAUUCUAAAAAGAAAAUUCAUUUGGAGCUACUUCUCCAAUUGCGUUUUAGGUGACAAAAAAGUGUUGAAAUGUAAAAAGAGUGACUCUAGUUUUAAUUAUUAAGUGUAGGUGACAAAUUUUUAAUCAAUUUUUAACAAUAAUUAAAUAAGUCCUCAAGUUUUUGUUUUUACACUUUCAUUUUUUGGAGCAAUAAUUUUGUUNNNNNNNNNNNNNNNNNNNNNNNNNNNNNNNNNNNNNNNNNNNNNNNNNNNNNNNNNNNNNNNNNNNNNNNNNNNNNNNNNNNNNNNNNNNNNNNNNNNNNNUGACUUCAAAGACAUUGUCGAGCAGCACCUAAACACACAAAAAUCGAUCCGAUCUAAGCACUUUUAGACGAGUAUGAUGACUCUACUAAUGGAGGAAAGAGAAGAAGGAGAGUGGCAUCGUGGUCGGCCAUGGCCGUUUCCGAAGCAAACCGUUGUCGCCGGAGCUCGAAGCAGACAAUUGGAGAGAAUCAAAGACAUAUAUUUUACCCAAAUAAUUACAACAAAAAAAAUUAAACCAAUAAAAGAAAAUUCACAACCCCCACCCCCUGUAAUGUCUUCCUCAAAGAUCCUACUCAUUUGCAGAAACAUCUGCACACCCCAUCCUUCCCUCUAAUUUUUUUCUCCAAACUCUUCGAUUCGUUUUAGUGCGCACACACCUACACACUAUUUCUUUUUUCAUCAUUUUAGAGUAGUAUCUUUAUUCACUAUUAUUAGAAUUUAACUUUGUAAGGGAAUUGGUGAGAUAGGUAAAUGUGCUUCUCACAAAGAUGUCUGCUUUUUGCAGUCAUGAGAAGAGGCAGCGAUGAUGAUGUUCACUUUUUGAGUUAGCUGACUCUGGAAUUUGGGGAAAAUAAUUUAAAAGGAAGAGUAAAAAAAGUUUGUAGAAAUGGUGACUAAAGGGCAAGGAAAAUGAGUUAAAUUAUUUUGGGUUUAAGAUAGAUGGAUGGAUCAGGCAUGGGUUUAAAAUGGGGGAUGGGUCAUUUUUUAACAAAUCGGGUCAAGUUUGUUUGAUUUGGGGAUUUCUGUCAAUUGAGGGGUAUAAAUGGUGAAAUUAAUAACGACGAGGGUAUAAAUAACUUUGUUUUAACGGUAUGGGUAUAUUCAACUAAUAAACUAAAAUUGAGGGGUAUUUUUGACCCUUUUCCCAUAUUUUUAUAAUGCCUUUAUUUAUAGGAUAACAAUAUAAAAUAUCAAAUGAUAUCAUGAACAUGACUAUUAAUAUGAUUUAAGAGAUAUGAUCAAGUCAUGAAAGUAAGGAAAAUAAAGACAAUUAAAUAUCAAAUGAUAUUAUGAACAUAAUUAUUAAUAUAAUUUAGGAGUUAUGAUCAUCAAAAGUCAUGAAAAUAAAAACAAUUAAAAUUUUCUAUUAAAAAAUAUAAAUAAAUGAAGGAAUAUAAUUGACAUAUUCAGUUUUGUACAACAAUAAGAUAUAUAUAAAUAAGAAAAAUUAUCAAAAAAUGAGAAAAAAAGAAGAUAAAUAUGAUUCUUGGCCAAAAAAAUAUGUCACGUCACUUUUCUUUUAUCUAGAUAAUUUAUAUGUUGGUAAAAAAAGUAGAUUGAGAGAGAAAAACAAUUUUACUAAGUCGUUUAUAUCCUAAUCAAAUACUUUUGCAUUUUGAGUUCAGACCAGGUCAUAGCAGUAAUUUCUGAAAUUUCAAAAACUUAAGAACUUAUAACAAUAACAAUAAAAAAAAUUAAAAUAUGAAGAUCACAAAGUUACGUAUUAAUAGUUAAAAAAAAUUUAUGAAUUAAACUGUAUUUUGAAAAUUAAUUAACUUUAACAUUCUCAUAUUCUAUCAUUCAUCUAUUGGGCUAAAAAUACCCUUGAAGUAUUAGAAAAGGUCUAAAAAUACCCCUCCAUCCGCCUUUUUGGUCCAUCUCUAUCCUUAAAACUAACAGUCACUUUUAAAAAAAUUAUUAUUAUUAUUAUUUGUUACAUGUCAUUUUCUUAGUGGAUAAAUUAAAUCCCAGCCCAUUUAAUUUUCCCCUACCCACCCAUUGUAGUGAACAUGAUCAAACCCAAUUAGAAGACCCAUUAAAAAAUAAAUUGAUUGAGAUUUAAUUUAUCCAAUAGGAAAAUGACAUGUAAUAAAUAAUAAUAAUAAUAAUAAAAAAUUAAAAAGUGGUUGUUAGUUUUAAAGGUAGAGAUGGACCAAAAAAGUGGAUGGAGGGGUAUUUUUAGCCCAAUAGAUGAAUGAAUGGUAUUUUUAGACCUUUUCAAAUAAUUCAAGGGUAUUUUUGGCCCUUUUCUGUAAUUAAUAAAAAGUUGAUCCACAUAACUAUAAAAUUAUAUCUACAUACUUUCUUCAGUAGCAUACAUAUACAUGUAUAAGGGUGUAUAAAACCGAAUCGAAAACCUAACCAAACCGCAAACCGAGUCAACCCGGAAAAAAAACCCGAACUAGUGGUUUGGUUUUUGAAAAAAAAAACCCCGAACUAUAUUUGGGAUUGGUUUGGUUUUAACUAAAAAAAACCAACCCGACAUUAUAUAUAUAAUUUUAAAAUUUUAUUUUAUACAUAAAAAUAUUUACUUUGAUAUAAUUUUUAAAUAUUUCUUAUACUUUUUCAUAAUUUUUUAUCUUUUAUUAUAUUAUUUCAAGUUUUGAAACUUAGAAUUAUGAAUGGGCCAAUAAAAAUUAUAGUUCACAGAUGUUGGUAAUUGCCUAAUUAUAAUAAAGCUUAAAUCAAAAUUAAAUUAAUACUAAUGCAAAAAUAAAAUCAUUUCAACACGACAAUAAUAUUGAAUAUUUGUUCUUUAGUUUUACAUUGGUUUAGACAAUUAAAAUACAUAACCUAAUUUAAUUUCCUUUAAAUAUUUAGUCAUGUAACUAAUACUUAUUAAAUUUAUUUUUAGCAUGCUUUAGUACUUUUAAAUUAUGAUCAUUUUCAUUAUGACUUGUUAAUUUGCAAUAUUUGUUUUACACGAUUUCAUUAUUAUUAUUAUUUUUGUUGGAUAUUUUAGUGUCAUUAAUCAUAUUAUAUUGUAGUAUAUUUUUAAGAAACAUCUUAGAUAGUUGUAGUUUGGUAUGGCUAAAGAAAUAUUUGAAGUACAAGUAAAUUAUAUGUUUGUAUGAAUACUUUACCGAAACAACCCAAAAAACCGAAAAAACCUGAAAAACCCAAGGUUGAAAAACCCGAGUUUUAUUGGUUUGGUUUAUAAAUAUAAAAAUCCAACACAAAUGGUUUGGUUUGAUAUUUGAAAAACCCGAACCAACCCGACCAUGUACACCCCUAUACAUGUAUAUGUUAACUUCUUAUUCUACUUUGUUGAAUUAUAUCCUCAGCAUAAGUAGUGAAGACAAAACAAAGUAAUAAUAAAAUGACGGAAUGACCUGGGAGACCCAUGUACUUAGCUCCGUUUGUAAGUUGAACCCUCCUACUUAUCAAUUUGUCAACUGAACCCCUAAACCCAUCAGAACACAAUAUUUUAAACCCAUUUGACCAUUAACCGAACUUAUGUAGCAUUGAUAAUGCUGAGUUGGAAAAUUACGUAAUUACAUACGUUUGACAGUGAGUAAAUAAGGUAUUUUACAUUAAAAAUAUUUAAAUAAUAAUAAUCAAUUUAAAAAAAAUAAUUAAAAACCCAUCUUCCUCAACCAUCCCUCUCCAACCCCACUCCACCCCUCUCUCCUCCGUCCGAACCCAUAAACUCAUCAUAACACAAUAUUUUAAACCUCUUAGACCAUUGACUGAACUUAUGUAGCAUUGAUAAUGCUGAGUUGGGAAAUUACGUGAUUACAUGCGUUUGACAGCAAGUAAAUAAGGUAUUUUAAAUUAAAAAUAGAGUAAAGACAUAAAUACACCAUCAAAGUUGUCCCGUAUUUUCAUAAUGACACCUUAACUUUUAAAGUGUCCUAUCACACCACAGAACUAUUUAAUAUCUUUGUAAAUGGGCCAUUUUGACCCAUUCCCUCGUCUAUUUAGUGGCGCGUGUUGCUCACUCCCUAUGAUGAGAAAAGACCCGACCCGACCCUGUUCUUUGAAGAAAGUCAUUUCUCCUUUUCUUUUCUUAUUUCUCAACUUUCCCUAAAAUCUAAAGAAAUAGAAAAGUUUUCUCAACAACUUUAAGUAUGAGUGAAAUAGGUCUAAAAAUAGAGGAGAUUAGAUAAAGGAUUCAAUCCAAUUACUUUGGAAGUGGGUCCUGAAUCUUUGUUGCAUCAUUGCAGCUUCGAGGGAUCCUAAGUUUCCAUACACUAAGAACCAUUGAUUCUUAGGUGAAGUAAUACAAUGGCCGGUUUAAAACACGGGGCAAGAUCUAGUACAGGUGUAAGGGUUGAUUAACAUAUUAAGCAUGCAUGGAUUAAUACUUCUCUACACCGCAUAGAAUCUCAAUUUCCAGGAGCACACAACAUGAUGGAAGCGGAGCCCUCCCCAUUGGACAAAAUGAAAAAAUAAAUGUUAAUGCUGUUAUACCCCAUUUUAACUCGAGGUCAAAACGGUGUACGACAUUUUGGUGAUUUCCAAAUUAAUUAACUUAAGAAGUCGCCACCUAAUUAAUUACGGUGAAUUAGGACACCUAAAUAUUGAACUAAGUAAUACUAAAAUGACUUCAAUUAAAAGGUCUACUAAACUUAAGAUUCUAGGUAAGGGUUCUAAUUAUCCUAAAGGGAAGGGGUAAGGCAUCCUUUAAGAUCCAUUAAAGACGGUUACCGGCCAAACUUAGGUUAAUUAAUUUUAAAAGAAAGAUAUGAGUGUUAAAUAUUAAGUGAUUGAAUAACCAAGUUGGAAAACAUUUUUUACUUUAAAAGCACUUUUGCAAUUUAUUAGAAUGAAAAAGAUUUAAGAAAGAGUAAUUUCUUUAGAUCAAUUUAGACAAAUUCAUGGCUAAAAAAAGUAAUUAAAAAAAAAAAAAAAAAAAAAAAAGCAUUUGCUCAUUAACCGACAAGAUGCUCUCUUUAGAAAAAGUUUAAGAAAAAUAAGAGUUUAGAACAAUAUAUUUUUUCUUUGAAAGAUAUUGCCAAGUUUGAACAAAACUUAAUAAAUUAGUGAGUUUAAAAUGGUGCAAAAGAAGUGUUUUAAAAAAAAAAAGCUAAAGUAACUAUAAAGGUUGUUUCUAACUAAAGGUACCCAAACCCAAACAUCUAUAUUAAGUCAACUAUUAUGAAUCCGAACUAGAAAUAUAUAAAUCACACAAGCAAGUAUAAAUUGAAAGAAAACACAAACAAAUAAUGCAAAAUGUAAGUAGCGAUAGGUGACUCCAAGAUAGGACCACUUGUUUUGCUUGCAAUUUCGAAUGGUCAAAGAUGUAGUGAAGAUUCCAUGUGCGGGUGUGAGGAUAAUGUUGAGUCUAUGAGACUCGGUAAUUUGCUAGAGUCUUGAAUCAAAGACUCCAUUUUGCUCCAAAGUGUACAUGUAAAUAAAGAGAGGGUAAAAAAGAAUUGGUAAGACAAUUAAACCUUACUCGAUAUCGAAUAAACUAGAAAUAGAAUUGAGUUAAAUAGCAUAACGAAAAUACCAUCCAAAACAUGAAAACAUGCAAAUGCGAAACAAAUCUCAAAGCAAACUACUACGACGCCUUUAAGGCACAAAAAAAAACAAUACACAACCCCUCAUAUUUAAGCUACAAACGAACUACUCGUUAAAGACUUGAAUUUAAAAAAAAUACUUAUGCCAUAAGUUUUCCAGAUUUAUACAUGCUGUAAUACUAUUACUUAAACUAAAAAAAAUAAAAACAAAAUACAUACACAAUACAAUUAACAAAAGAGCACAAAACAUAAGUUAGUACUUGUAUGCAAAAAGUAAGUUGCACGAGAAUUCCUACAGACGUAACUCUUAAUAAGAGAGCACUUAGUUGCUAACCAUUUUUUAUAUAUUUUACAGUCAUCUUCCUUAAGCAUGCUAUACAUAGGAAAAUAUGAACAUUGAAAUUUUAACAUAUAAGCACACGAAAUAAAUCAUUUAAACUGAGAACGAAACAGCAACAACACAACCCAUAUAAAUCGAACUAUGAGACUAAGUCAUUAACAAAAUAUUUAAAUCCAAAGCUAAGCCAUUCUUUAAACUCAAGGUCUAGUAAAUGAGGGGAAAACAAUUUCUGAUCUGUAUAAAUCUCAAAAGGAUACAAACACAUUUUUUAACAAUCAACAUAUAAUAAUAGCGAACUAAAUAAUAUUAGUUCGAGUAGAAUUUGAGAGAAACUUAAAAGCUUAUAAGAUACAGGGUGCGAAGCUGCUGUAGUGUAUCCGCGAUUAGAGCUUAUAUUUUUUUAAAAAAAUAAUGAUAUGGUCUGUACCAUAUUUUAACUAAAACAAAACAAAUAUUAUAUUCCUUGAACACGUUUUUACAUAGGAAUGCAUACAUAUAUCAAAUGAUCAGAACUUGGAGUAAGAAUUAAUGUAUAUGACCUAAAAUACAACCAUUUCCAUGUAAUAAAUAAAUUUAUAUCUCAAACGAAAACACAAAUACAAUUAUCAAAUAACUUUGAAUACAGUUAAACUAGGCAGGAAUUACUCUCUACAUACAAAUUUGUUAGAGUAACAUAACAUUUUCCCACAGAAACAAAACAGAGGAAGAAAAAGAGAAUGUCACCUGCUAUAGGGCAGUGAACGGGGCUGUUUCGAUCAAAUGUCUAUAUUCGAACAAUAACGAACUCAAGGAAGCUUGAAACUUGAGUUUCGAUCGAGAUUUAAAGAAGGAUGCAAAGACAAUAUUUUAGAAAAGAAAAUAGUAGUUAAACAAUGCUAUGGUGCAAGGAAAAGCUUUUUAAGAAUGAAUGCCAAGGCUUCUAUGGAGGCUGAAAAAUCCUCUUUUUUUUUUUUGCUAAAGAUAUAAGGAUGUAUUUAUAGAAAAAAUUAGGGUUCUUCAUUGUGUUGAGCGGGAAUAGAUUUUGAACUUUCAAAUUAGUCAAAAAGUCUUCAAAUCCGACCGUUUGAAGCUUGAAACAGACAUCACGUGAUACCUUGGAGAAAGAGACAAGUUUUGCUUGGAAUGGACCAAGCAAAGUCUGUCCAUGGCUGAAGAGAAACGAAACUUUAGCCAAAAAUGGAGGAGAAAAGACAGACAUCGAGUAAAGAGAAAAGACCUAAAUGAUUUCGGGUCUUGAGCCAUUUUACUGAUGAAUGAACAUUGGGUUGGGCUGGUGCUAAAUUUUCUUUUGUGGGCUGAUCUGAAAGUUCCGUUGGGCCAUAUUUUGGAGUGGAUUUGGGCUCGUUUUGCUGGACCAAUUUUGGGCUGAAUUUUGAAGGUCUUUUCUCUUCUUUCUUUGUAUUAUUUUGGGCUUCUAAAUUAAUAAUUAAUACAAUAUCUAUUAUGAUAUGAUAACAACUAGAAAUUUACAUAAUAAAAAUAUCACUAAUAUAAAAUAUAUAUACGAAAUAUUAAAUAAUAAUUAAUUUAAUAAAUACGAAACUAGAAAUAAGAUGACGACAAUUGGUUAUUUAAGAAAAGAGAUGUAAAAAAGUGAUAAUAAUCAUUUCGAUAAUAAAAACCUAUAAUUUUAGUAGAUUAAUAGUUGUAAUAGUAAAAAUAGUUGUGAAAAGAGAUAAUUCGAUACAUUAUUAAUUUAGAAGCUUGAAAAUGAUAAAUUAGAAGAAAGGAGGGUCAAAAUUGGGUGUCAACAAUGUUCCCUUUGUUGUUUUCCUAAUAUUGGUAGUUGAGAUAUUGUUAGGAUAUUAUAGUUUUUCGUUGUUACAGGUUGAUCUUGCUUGGAAAAAACCAUGAAAUCAAAAAAUUAGGGCUAUUUUGGGUUUAAAAUUGGGGAAGAUGACAUAAAUUGAUUAUAUAAUUAAUAAUAAAGAAAGCUAAUGACACGUGGCACUUUUAAAUUGGUCCAUGGCAGUGAAAGCACGGAAUGACGCGCCUCACGUGCAUGGUAACAACCCAGACGAGGGAAUGGGUCAAAAUGGCCCAUUUACAAUGAUAUUAAAUAGUUCUGUGGGGUGAUAGGACACUUUGAAAGUUAAGAUGUCUUUAUGCAAAUACGGGACAACUUUGAUUGUGUCUUUAUGUCUUUUCUCUUAAAAAUAUUUAAAUAAUAAUAAUCAAUUUUAAAAAAUAAUUAAAAACCCAUCUUCCUCAACCAUCCCCCUCCCACCCCUCUCUCCUCCGUCUGAACCCCUAAACUCAUCAAAAUACAAUAUUUUAAAUCUCUUUGACCAUUGACCGAACUUAUGUAGCAUUGAUAAUGCAGAGUUGGAAAAUUACGUGAUUACACGCUUUGACAACGAGUAAAUAAGGUAUUUUAAAUUAAAAAUAUUUAAAUAAUAAUAAUCAAUUUUAAAAAAAUAAUUAAAACCCAUCUUUCUCAACCAUCCCUCUCCCAUCCUACCCCACCCCUCUCUCCUUCGUCUGAACCCCUAAACUCAUCAGAACACAAUAUUUUAAACCCCUUUGACCAUUGACCGAACUUAUGUAGCAUUGAUAAUGUUGAGUUGGAAAAUUACGUGAUUACACACGUUUGACAGAGUAAAUAAGAUAUUUUACAUUAAAAAUAUUUAAAUAAUAAUAAUCAAUUUAAAAAGGAUAAUUAAAAAUGCAUCUUCCUCAACCAUCCCUCUCCCACACCACCCUACCCCUCUCUCCUCCGUCCGAACCCCUAAACUCAUCAGAACACAAUAUUUUAAACGCCCUUGACCAUUGACCGAACUUAUGUAGCAUUGAUAAUGUUGAGUUGGAUAAUUAUGUGAUUACACGCGUUGUCAGCGAGUAAUAAGGUAUUUUACAUUAAAAUUAUUUAAAUAAUAAUAAUCAAUUUUAAAAAAUAAUAAUUAAAAACCCAUCUUCCUCAACCAUCCCUCUCCCACCCCACCCCUCUCUCCUCCUAUUUGUUUUUUUUUUUCUAAAAAAAAUUUUGGGCUUUGCCCGAGGAGAUGUAUGGGGUGCAAUUGUCUCUCUUUCAAGUUUAUUAAUAAAAAAAAAUACCACAAUUGUUUUAAAAAAAAAAAAAAAACACCACCCCUCUAUCCUCCGUACCCCCCCCCCUCCCCGCCUCUCCUCUUCUUCUUCUUCUCUUGGAAUUUCAUCCACCACACUCACUCUCCUUCAUCCACCUCCUUCUUAACCCACACUUCUUUUUCAUUACAAAUCAACCGUCCACCCUAACCACUUAGUCUAAAAGUCUUUUAGAUUCUAGCUUUUUAGUCUAAAAGUAUUGAGAUAUUAUUAGUUUUAUUUGGCAUCAAAAAAGAGGUCUAAGUAUGGAUUAACACGAAAGAUAAUGGUGGAUAUUGAAAAAUUAAAACUCCAUUGAUAAGUUAGAGAAAGCUUGAAAUUUAUAAGAUAUAUUAGAACUAUAUAAAAAAAAAUAUCACAUAUACCAAUCAAUUGUGUAUACUACAAACAAUUAUACUUCUCUUUCAAAAUUUAGUUACUCAAUAUUACUUGCAAGUUUUAGUAGCAUCUAUAUCAUUUAAUUUUUUUGUACUAAUUAACACAGGACACACAUGCAACGCACGUGCCUAGAGACUAGUUUAUAUAUGUACAUAAACUUAGAAAAUAUAUCCAAUAUAUACAUCUUAAUUUUUUGUCGAGGGGGUUCGGGUGAACACUCUCCCUCCCUUGAUUGGCUCAUUGAUACUAUUAUUGUUAGUGCAAGAGGAAACUGCUAGGGAAGUUGCCUCUGAUAUAUGUUGGAGCAGAUGGGAUAUAAGAUUUUGAUUUGAUGGGUUCAAUUUUUAGGUUCUUAUCAUUGAGCCCGUUAUACUUUGAAAUUAUGGGUUCAUAUUCUAUUAUUAAUUAAAAUUUUAGUGAUUUUUCACAUAUACUUUUAUGAUCUGUGUCGAAAAUGCAAAUCUUAUACUUAUAUUCGCCAUCCGCCCUGUGUAACUGAACAUAUUACUGUUUGUCUUCCAUGUAACAGUGAUCCUAAAACCAUUCCUUAUUUAUGAUCUGUAACUAUGGUCGUUAUCUGCUAAUAGCUUCGGAUGUUCUUGUCCUCUAGGCUAGUUCUUGGACCUGCAUUAUAAAUUCACUACUACUAUAUCUUUCUUUCUUAUUGCAUUUGGGAUUUGCAGAUUGCUCUUUGUUAUCAAAACAUUGCACAAAUCUCUCAUGUGGUCAUUCACAUAUAACCCCAUUAUUUCAUAUUCUAUAUAAGAAUUAUGUAAUCAAAAAUAAUUUAGCAUCUUAUUUGUAGAUUUUGUUCUGUUAUUGUAACAUAACAAAACUACCUCAUUUGAAUUUCUUGAAAACGGAUGCAUGUAUUGAAUUCUUUCAUGCCACACAUAUUUCUUUAAAUUAUUCCAAACAUAAGUACAACAACAACAACAUAAGUAGUGAUGAAAAAACAAAGUGAACAUAAAAUUGCUAAAGAAACAACUAAGAAAAAGUAAGGGUUGAAUCCAUCUAAUGGAAUCCUGGAGGCCACCUCUUGAUGCUAAUACAAAGCGCUUUCAAUGGUGAUGAAAGAGGAUUAUGGCCAAGAGUGACAAAGAAAUAGUGUAAUCGGAUUUAACUAACCCUAAAGCUAGCUCAUCUCUGUACAAUCUCUUGUAGGGCCCUAUUCAGGUGUGCCACAAUUAUGUUAGCAGCUAUAUAUCUCAUCUUUCUUCAAUUGUGCCUGACAUUGUUUCAUGAACUGGAGUUCCAGGUUCUGUUGUAGAGAACCCUUCAGAAGCAGGGGAUUCUCCUAGGCCAUCGGAGAUUCCGAUUUCUGGGCUUUCCAAAGGUAGGUUGGGCGAUAAUUCAAUAGAAGCAUCACUUUCUGCAAACACUGUAGCCGUUAGGCUUUCAUUCCCUUCAGAUGGCUUUUUUGACAUAGAAUUAGAGUCGUCUCUCUUUAAAUCAAAGACUUUUGCUAUUGCACAAAGCUUUUUUCCUAUUGAAUCAUCAGUGACUAAGAUUUCUCUAUUCUGAUAAAGGAAGAUGAGGAAGAAUAGGAGAAGAGAGGAGCCUGCUGACACACCAUCUUGCUUUGGACAAUCUGUUUCAAUAUCUUUCUGUGGACAAUCUGUUUCAUUCCCAAACCAUUUCUGAAUUAUGUUAUUCAUAGUCUCUCCCUCUAUCACCUUCAAGACUGCUCUUGAGACGUCAGGUACCAAAGGAGAUCCUUUUGGAAAUGCCUGCAACAAGUUGUGGGAAAAUUAAAGAUUAGAUCAUUGAGUAAACCACUAACCACUCUAAAACAAAUGUUAACACUUGCUGAAACAUCAGUUAAGUACAACAAUCUUACAAAUCCAAAGCCGGCAGCCUUGUAUGUCGGACCAACCAUAAUAUACUUCCUGCAGUAUUUGUUCAGCAAGAGUCUGAGAUAAGGUAGUUCAUCAACAAUUGCACCAACACCUCCAUUUUUACUACCUCUUGAGAGUGCAUCAUUAUACUCUUCCAAUGUGCUGUAACUCCUAAAUUUGGAGCUGUCAAAUUUCAUGCGUGUCAAGACGUCUUUGACAAAGGAACCUUUUUUAUCAGCACAAAUCUUGAUAAGUUACUUGUUAUCUUCUCUUCUGCAACAACCAGUCAUAUAUAGGAUUUGUUGAGAAACAAGGAGAAAUCUUAAACUUUUGGUCUAUAAUUUGAUUUGAGUUAGAGACUUACUAUGAGCAAAAACGAGAGUUGAGAAGGAAAACCAAAAUAUUAUCCCAACUUGCUUGCGUUUGGGUCCUCGAAAAUCUUUGUUUACACGAUGUUCGAGUACCCAAACCACAAAACCAAUGAAGACGAAGAAUGCUCCGGUUGCUAUCCACAGCUCGGCCUUUAAAGGUUUCAAGAAGAUCCAAGCGUUCUUCCUAUCAUCAUUCCUUAAAGGCACAACUGCAGAAAUACCCGACUCUGAAUAAGGUAAUGUGAAAUCUACAUACUCAGAUCGGCUUGCUAAAAUGGUAACAUCACCUACAACUGCAUCAUAUUCCUGGUUCAAGCAAACAUUGAUUAUUUAAGUAUUUAUUGUUGGUCGCUAAAGCAGAACAUAGAUAAGAAGUCCAAAAAAGGAGCAUGUAAGUGAGUUAUUCAGCUGAAGAGGUUAAUUUUACCUUAGAAGUGAUCUUCUGAACAAGAUCAUCAUAGUUUUAAGAAGUAGGGCUAUGUGCUAUUGGAAAUAGAAUAAAUUCGUAGGGGACAGCAUAUGGCAAAGAUAGGAUGACUUCUUUGAAGACAUCUGGAACAAAACCAGUUACAAUUACUUCUUGUGUCGUUGGAUUUGUUUCCACUUGAAUGAAUUGCUCCAGCCCGUCAGGAACUCCGACCCUUAACUUCUUCCCACUUGUGGGUAUUUCCCAGCCUCUCGGAACAAUAGUAGAUUCACCAGGCCAAAUGAUGACCCCUAGUUGCUUAUUAUUAGUUUUAGCUGUUUUACCAUUCAUCUUGAGUUUAUGCGAAAUGCCAUCCUUCUCUGUCCAGAAUCCAACGAUUUUCUCUCCUUUCCCAAUUAUAUUCACAAUCUGAUAUGGGGACGGCUGCAGUUCUCUAUCAACGAUACGGAAAUCACCACUUAGUCCUGGUUUUAGCUCUGUGUUUUGCAUAGAGUCAAUGAGCAGAGAUCCCACUUCUGAGGUUCCAAGUGCAUCUAGGUCUGUUAAGUUCUCUCUAGUGUCUGGUUCUUAAUUUUGGGAUAGCAGUAGUGCCCACUUUCUCUACUGCUUCUGCUAAUAAGGUGAUGCUAUCAUAUGCCAUAGCCCGAAAACAUUGAGUUCUACUUGGUCCAUGUCUGGAUAUUCUUGACGAAAUCUCUUUCUCCAUCUCUUGGUGAACAUGUCAAGCGCAUUUGGAGUCCAGAAAACUCGUUAGCACAUCUGUGAUGAUCCAUGCAUAUCCACUGCUCAUCAUCCCAGCUUCUUUGGCCUUGAGGAAAAGGCGUGAGGCAAGAUAUGGUUGUAAGUGCACAAUGAACACUGUGGUUUGCUUUGUAUUCAAAUUGUGUAACUCCUUGAGGAUUUGAUCAUCACUGGCUGAAGGAGAAAUAGCACUUUUAUAGGGGACUAAAGUGUUGAUUUCCAGUAAGGCAUCAGUCAGAUGUGGAACUAUCCCAGUUCCAAUGGAGCUAUCCUCGUGGAUGAUUACAACCUUCGUCCAAUUAUAGUUUUUAACAAUUGCUGCAAUGGCUUUAGUCUGGCUGGAAGAAGGAAGUGCUCCUCUGAUGAAGAAGGGAUUUUCCUUGACUGUAAGUAAAGGACUUGUUGCUGGAGAAAUGAUAGGGACUUUUGUUCUGUUCCCUAUGUCAAUCACAAAAUCAGUUUGUGUAGACAUUUGUGGCCCAAAGAUAGCUUGUACUUGGACAUCCUUUAGCAAGUAUAUGGCUGCGUAUACACAAUCAGACUAUAAGAAAUCGUUCCAAAGUGAAAAACAGACGAAAAGAGAGAAUGAUAUGCUAGUUUAACAGAAGUAAAUCAUGGAUCAGAAUAUACCAGCGGAUGCUGCUUCAACAUCAUCUUUCUUUGAAUCCCUGAUAUGAGGAACUAUCCUUAUGGCACCGCGACUAGUGUUGGCAUGAUAAUCUGCAAGAGCUAGUAAGAUAGAUAUGUGCAUUACUUUUCCCACAUCUGUUUCCAGAUCAAGAAUUAUGCCCACAUCCACCUUUACAGCACUAGUGUUAUUAUCUUCACCUCUUAUUCCAAUUACAUAGUGGCAAAAGCUAAUGAUGGAAACAAGUUGAAUGAAAAUAAUUAGGAAUUUGCAUCUUGGAUUAUGCAUUUGAAAAACUCUUGUAGAAAGUAAUAUGAGUGUUGGGCAAGAAGCAGUUGUGCUUGUGCAAGAUUUAUAACCACCAUUCAGAGAUGUGUUUAAAGGUAUCUUAACUAUAACUUUUCUACAAUUAAAUGAGAGCAAACCUCAUAACUGCAGAAAGAAAAGUCAAAGUUUUCAAAGAAUUACAAAUGGUUUAAAAUAUACUAGUUUGAUUAUUAAAGAAAGAGUACUUUGCACACUUGUUAGACCACAAGCUAGUAAAGCCUCCUCAGUUUUGACCAAAUCAAUAAAUGACUAAAUGAACAUAGUGACAAAAUUGAUUUGUACUCAUUCUCCCAAUACCCAAAGAAGUUUUUGUAUUCAUUGGAUGACUAUCUAGAGGCUACUAAAAGGACUUCCCAUAUUUUGGCUAAGUCAUGUUGAAAGUUGAGUGCUAACUCAGUUACAAAUAAGUAGAAGAGGUCAGUUUCUAUGACUUGGACAUUGGAAAAGGGCAGCUAUGACUAGUAAUCUUUAGUUUACUUAGACGGUUUCAGUUUAGAAUUGGUCAGUAGUAUAAAACUUUAUGGUGGUAGAGGCACAACUUGUAGGGUUGUUCCGGGUUAUCGUUAAUUAAAAAAUCAAAUCAAACUUGUAGGGUUGUUUGGUUAGGUUUUAAAUUUUGAAAAUCAAUACUAUUUGGUUUGGUUUGGUUUUAAAACUGUAAAAAUAAUCAAAUUGAACGUGUAAUUAUAAUAAUUCUAGUAUUGCUUGAUUGAAUCCACAGUAACUUUCAUGUGUAUUGUUCAUGUACUAGGUGUCUGUGUUUAUAUAUAUGUCUUCAAAAAAAUUAUUACUUCCAAAACAAAAAAACAAAAAAAUUGAACCAAACCGACAAUUAUUUUUUUCAUUUGGUUUUAGAAUUUAGAAACCGACUAAAUUGAUCUGGCUUUGAUUUUAGCCAAUAAUCAAUCCAAAUUGAACCAUGAACACCUCUAGGCACAAAUAUAACUUGGUAUGUGAAGAAUUACUAUAAUACCUUUCCUUUAACUUUUUUUUUUUAAAAAAAAAUCUCCAUCCUCCAUUUUUUUCCCUUCACUUUUAAAAAAAAAAAAAAAAACCUCUAUUGGGAAAUUUUUCAAAUCAGUUUUUUUUACUCAUGAGCUCUAUUCCUUUCCCUUUUAUAUUUUUUAUAAUAUAAAAUAUAAGAUAAAAUAAAGAAUUUUUUUAAAAAGAAAUGAGAAAAAAAAUGAUGAAGAUGAGGGGUGAGGAGCUAAAGGAGAGAAGAAAGAUAGAACAUAAGAUGAGAAAGGUAGGGUCCCCAUAUUUUCUUUAUCAAAAAGUAACUUCUUACCUACCAAAGUCAUAUUUAUGCCUCUACCACCACAAAUUUUUUCGUAUUAACUUGCUUGCAAGUUGCAAAACCAAACAAAGCAAGCAUACCCAAAUGGAGAUGGAAUCUUGGAAUGAGGAUGGUUGGGUAUACAUGUAGGUGUCAAUGUCAUUGUCUCAAUAUAUAUAUAUAUAUAUACUCCCUCCGUCCCAAUUUAUGUGGCACCCUUUUUUUUUAGUCUGUUCCAAAAAACAAUGUCAUCUUACUAUAAUUAGAAACAAGGGAAAAGACUCAAAUAUGCUAUUGAAAUUUGAGAAAAGACUCAUUUAUGUCAUCCGUUAAAAGUUUGGUUCAUCUAUGUCAUUUUCGUUUGAGAAAAAACUCAUCCAUACCAUUAGUUGUUAACUAAAAAUAAUUUUGGUUUUGUAAGAUCAUUUUAUACACAUGGUCAAUUAUGAUUCGGCCAUGUCAUCAAUUAAAUCAUUUCUAUAGAAGAGAAAAUGUUCAAAUAUGUCAUCGAACUUUGAGAAAAGACUCAUUUAUGACAUCCGUUAAAAGUUUGUCUCAUCUAUGCUAUUUCAGUUAAUAAAUAAUGGCAUGAAUGAGGUUUUUCUCAAAUGAAAAUGGCAUAGAUGAGCCAAUUUUUUAACGAAUGACAUAUAUGACAUUUCUCAAAGUUCGAUGGCAUAUUUGAGUUUUUUCCCUAUAAACAAUUUCACUUAAAAUUUACUGUUAUCCUUAAUGAAAUUAUUUACAAACACACAAAUAUCUAAGGAUUGUUUUAGAUCACAAGUUUAAAAGUCUUUUUAAAAUAUAUAUAUAUAUAUAUAUAUAUAUUGUGUCAAGUUAAACAGUGCCACAUAAAAUGAGACAGAGAGAGUAAUUGUUAAUGUAAGAGGAAGCUGCUCGGGAAGUUACGUGUAUGAUGUUGAAGUUAUUUGACAUGCAGUUGAGGUGAUCCUAUAAUCUUCCAUUAUUUAUGACUAGUAAAAUCACUGAAUUUAUAAAAUAAUACUUAAAACAUAUGAGUCAUUAAAACUAAAACACUAUAUUAUCUUACAUAUAAGAUUACAUAUAACAAACAUUAAUAAUGUAAGUAAUUUCUUUUUUGCAUAUGUUAACAAAUUUUUGAAUUUCUUCCUGAGACAUAUAUCACAAUUGUAAAAUCUAUACAACUUAAAUGUGUUCUUGUUCUUACGAAACGCCUUUGUGUAUAUAUAUUCUUAUUUAUUCUCUCUUUUUUCCUUUUAAUUGAUGAUUAAAUAACCAUUAAUUUAUUAUUUCCUAAAUAAUUCAUUUAUUAGAUGUUCUUGAGUUAUGUGAUAAUGACAAAUAAUAGUAUAGAUCUUUAAGGAAUUUUUUUACUGUACCUUCAACAAUUUCAUGAUCAGUAGAGAAAACUUGCAUGAAUACUCAAUUAACAUGUGUUGUUUAAUCUGUACUAACAAAUACAAUUAACGUGUGUUGUUUAAUCUGUACUAACAAAUACUUAUAACAAUAACUUUGCAGAAACAUAAACACAAGUUUAAAACAUGUACUCAAAAACAAUAAUUAAUAACAUAAGCAUAAAUUAAUGACUGUAAAAAAAUAUACCAGGAUCUGUAAUAAUAGGAUGAAACAUAAAGGAAAAAAUUGUACACGAAUAUUUAAUUGUGCAGGUUAAGAAGAAGUUCAAAAUUUUCGUUUUUUUAAAAUGAGAGGAAAUCACUCUAUUUAUAGCUAGACAACAAAGGGUAGUGUGAGCAAAUGUUUAUUGUGUCUUAUCGGAAAGGUCACAACUCUUUGGAAAAGUUACAAACCCUUUGGAAAGGUCAUAACCUUUCAUAAAAGACACAACUUUUCAUAAAAGUCGCAACUCUACAUAGAAGUUACAACUUUUCAUAAAAGUCGCAACUGUUCAUAUAAGUCGCAAUUUUUCAUAAAAGUCACAACUUUUCAUUAAAGUCGCAAAUUUUUAUAAAAGGGGAAGGAUAGUUUUGUAAAUAUAUUAAUUAAAAAAGGAAUCCUGGUUUGUGAUGGCGCCACGUAGGCAGGCCUAGGGUUCUCUUUUAUAUAUAUACUAGUUUCUGAACACGUGCGUUGCACGUGUUUCAAACAAGUAGUAUACACGAUAAAAGUUAUAUUAAAACCAUAGUGUAAUCAAUAACGAAAAAAAGGUACAAACUAAAAUUGAUGAACGUAACACUCAUCCAAUUUGAAUGACUUAUUCGUUUAGCGAUAAAUAAUUAAUUACUAUCAGAACUACAAAAUUGAAUAAUUAUAUUUAGUUAGAUAAGUAAAAUGUAUAAAAUGAGUCACAUUUUAAUGUUAUUAGGUGCAAAUAUUUUAUUUAUAAAGAAGUAUUAGUAUUAAAUAUUUGCACCUAAUAACAUUAAGUAUUAAAUUUCAAGACAUAAUAUUUGAAUAAUGAAUUGUGAUGCUCAUACCAAAUAGCAAAACAAUGAAUCUAGAAAAUACUUUUAAAACAAAAAAACUUAGAUAUGAUAUUUAAAAUAUUUAAAACUUCUUGUUAAAAUUUACAAAAACGCAAAUAAUAUAUGCUUAUUAAGAAUUUAAAACUAAUUGUUAUAAUCUUAACAAUUGUGCAUGGAAACAAAAGCACCCAAAACAAAUGAAAUUCCAAUACAUGUGAAAUCAAAGUAUUGUAAUUCUAAGUAACUAAAUAUGCCAUGCAUACUUCUCAUCUCUUCUUUUAUGCAAACUAUUAGAAGGCAUAAAAAAACAAUGAAAAUCGAAGAUAAAAUAAUUUGCAUUCAAUCUUAAAAAGUUACAAAGAGGAGAUGGGGAAAAUUAGUAAAACUCAUUUAACCUUUAUAUAAUGUUUUUCCCAGUCCUUUGAAAUUUCAUUUCAUUUAUUUACUAAUGAAUUGAUUUACUAAUUAAUAUUCAAUUCAACUUUUCAACUUCUUUGUACUUACUGUAGCAAUGAAAGGUUGGCUAUUGGUUAACGUAACAAUUAAAUAAUUGAACCACCAAUGUUUCAUAUAAAGUUAUGGUUAUUAUAAGUAUUAAAUGCAAACAUUUUCUUUUUAUUGUAUGAAAUGCGUGUAUUUGUAUUUUUAUAUUAUAAACUUUUUGAAAUAAUAGUUGCUUGAAGGUUAAAAUGAUGUUUAACUUUUAAUAGGCGAUUUGGUAAUUCAAUUUUUCAUUUGGAAAGUUUCUACUUGAUAUAAUAUGAUAAUGAUCAAAAAUUUAAUAUAAAAUGAAUAAAGCAAAGAAUAAACAGGGAAAGAAAGAAAGAUGAUUGUCAUCAAUCCCUAUUAAAUCAUUGAAUUAAGUGUGAUAAUUAAAGUAUUAUUACUCCACUUUCAAAUCAUCCGUUCAAUUCAUGUUAUUGAAAACUAAUUUAAUUGAAGAUUUAUUUUAAUUAUGGUGUAAAUAAAAAUUAGUUUAUAAAAAAUGAUUUAGUAUAAGGGCAAAAUGGUAAAUCAACUUUGAAGACAAGAGCUUCCCACUUUUAAUAAUACUAGAAGAAAAAUGUGAAUUACAUGGAGAUUUUUUUCUUGGAAUUAGUAUCAAAAUUCGCAGAUAACUUAUUUCCUGCAAAUUUUCAUAUUAAUCCCCAGGAAAAUCCCCAUGUAAUUCACCAUUUUCUUGUAGUGUUGUACCAAAUUAUAAUAAAAUAACAGUAAAGAAAAUAGGUUGUACCCUGCUUCUUGCACUUAACUUUAUCCCACGAACAAUAGACAGAAAGGUGUCAUAUAAUCCUUACAUAUCACUAUCAAACCAAAUUCUCCCAACUGACAUAUUCUCCCACAACAAUAUUAUAUUCCCUCAAGUCCAAUUUUCAUCAGUGACUCCGUUUCUAAUGUUUUCCAAUUCACUUUUUCGACCUCCUUUUCACUAUUCAUUAUAUAAUAAUUGAUAUGAAACAACCCACAAUGUAAACAAGAUUUAAGAGACGUGAUUGAUUUACUUGAGUCGCUCACGUUCUUCUUUCGUUCACGCCGCUUUCUGUUAUUCUUCUUUUCCGUUCUUUCCCUUUUCUUCUACAGAUUAUUUUCACCCUAAUUAUUAUAUGACUAAUUAUAAGAGUGGUGGAAUUGGCUCACUACUAGUUUUAAUGCUAUCUUCUUUAACCACCAACUACAUUAAUUAUUAAAACUACCCCACUAAUUUCAUAAUGUAAUUACGAAUAGUCCAAAAUACCCAUUUAGAAUCUAUCGAACGAGUCUUUUAUGAAAUAAAAAGAUCUAGUACUCAAAACGACUAAAUGGGUCGUUACACAAUGUAACUCUUUAACUUUCAAAAUGAUAGGAGGUGAAAAGGUGAAAACAUUUUCUUUUUCAAUGAAUACAUUCAUUAUACUAAUAAUUCACCAUUUAAUAAACUUCUACCUAAAAAUGUUUUUUAGCAUAAAACAUGUAGGAAGUAAUUUUAAACAGUAAAAGGUAAAGGGUUAAUUAGUUUCUCAUUUAAUUAAUUCGAUUCAUUUAUUAGUAUAGGUAAAUUUAUUAUUUAGUACCAAGUAGUAUAAGAAUAGUAUUAAGAUGAAGGGUAAAAAUGUAAUUUGAUUUUUUAGGAAUAUUUUGUAAUUCAAUUUUAUAAGUUUUGGGGCUUCCCACUUAAUAAUUAUUAUUUAUAAUAAUAAAAAAAAUUUGACUUAACACCUUUCCAUUAUUAUUAUAGAUUAUAGAUGAUAAAUAUUAAUAAAUUAGAUAUUUAAUUAGGAAUUAAUCUUAGGAAGUCUAAAAGUCAUUUAACAUUUUUAAUUUAAAACUUAUACAAUCAAAUAUUUAAAUAUUUUAUAACAAUUUAAUUAAUAGAAGGGGUAAAACUGUAAUUCAACUUUCAACUUUUUUUGUUCAUGCUUAUAGUAAUAUAUAUGAUAUGAUAUAUAUAUAUAUGAUUAUUUACUGUGGUCGUUUUCUGAUAUGAUCACAAUAAGAUAUAACCGUCUAUUAUCUUUUAAACUUGUUUUUCUUUUUAGUUUGCAAUAUAUUUUGGAUUGGUAACAUUAGUAGUAUUAAAUUGUUAACAGCACUAGUUUGCAAUAUUUUUGGUUUCUGCAAACAUUAUUAGCACAUAUUGAAAGAGAUAUAUAUGAUAUGGUUUCAUUGAAUUAUAUCCUCUACAUAAGCAGUGAAGACAAAACAAAGUACUAAUGUUAUUUAAAUUGUCUCUAAAAUUUUGAUGAUUUAAUAAACUUUGAGAUCUAAAGAACGACCAGAUUCCAAGAGAGAUUGAGAGUUCUGUUUAUGAAAAAAACAGCGGUCUAAAAGCAGCAACACCUGCUGUGGUUGGUGCACGUAUUUUGCAGCAGACAUUCAGCCAAUGGCAGGGCAUUGCUUCAAGAGUUUGGGUCCAUCCUAUAAUACACCUCUUUGACAUUGACACAAACUCAAGUUUUUGCAAUAUAAAAAUUCAUAACAGCAAAAGUCAUUCUCUCAAGGAAAUAUUUCUCGAUAAAUGAUAGAGUUAUCAUCGUUCUUAGGUGUUUUUAGGGCUUAUAUUUCUGUGCUUAUACUUGUAAGAUUUAUUCCUACGUUAUAAAGGAAUCAGAUCAUUUGAAGUUUUUUCUGAGUAUUCCGAGUUAUAGCUAGAGUUAGUUAUGUUGUAUUCUUGAAUUCAAGAUCAACUAUAGCUAGUUGAUUUAGUGGGUCAUAGAGUUAUUGCUUAGUUUUUGAGUAACAGAGUUGUUACUAUGAGGGGAAGGGAUUAAGAGUUUAAUUCCUAGGCUACAAGGGUUUGUAAUAUGAAGCUUUGCACUUUUGAUGAUAAUGGAGUUGGGUUAAAUCCUGUGAGACAGACCGUGGUUUUUCCUCCCUUGAACAAGGGGCAUUCCACGUAAAACUCUUGUAUUUGUUUUACUUUGUGUUAUUUAUUUUCCACAAUUUUUCUUUCAAGGGACUUGGUCCAUUGACCAUUAGUGGACGCAUACAUUCUAUGAGUAAUAAUAAGAUUGAAAAAGAAACCACUAAGAAAAAGUAAGGGUUAAAUCCAUCAAAUGGAAUCCUGGAGCCACCUCUUGAUGCUAAUAUUCUGGCCAAGAUCAGUAACAAAGAUAUAAUGUAAUCUGGUUUAACUAACCCUAAAGCUAGCUCAUCUCUGUGCAAUCUCAUAUAGGGCCCUAUUCAGGUGUGUCACAAUUAUGGUAGUAGCUAUAUGUGUCAUCUUUCUUCAAUUGUGUCUGUAAUGGUUUCAUGAACUGGAGUUCCAGGUUCUGUUGUAGAGAACCCUUCAGCAGCAGGGGAUACUCCUAGUCCGUCGGAAAUUCUGAUUUCUGGGAUUUGCGAAGGAAGGUCAGGCAAUAUCUCAGGAGAAGCUUCACUUGCUGCGAGCAGUGUAGGUGCAUUGCUUCCAUUGCUUUCAGAUGGCUCUUCUGACAUAGAAUUAGAGCUGUCUUUCUCUUCAUCAAAGACUUUUGCAAUUGCAGUAAGCUUUUGCCAUAUUGAAUCAUCAGUGGCUAAGAUUUCUCUAUUCUGAUAAAGGAGGAUGAGGAAGAAUAGGAGAAGAGCGGAGCCUGCUGAAACACCAGCUAUGAGGAAAAGUCCCUUAAAACUAUCUAACGUGAGGCUAUCAGAUGUUAUUGCCGUUUCAUCUUUCUGUGGACAAUCUGUUUCAUUCCCAAACCAUUUCUGUAUUAUGUUAUUCAUAAACUCUCCCUCCAUCACCUUCAAGACUGCUCUUGAGACGUCAGGUACCAAAGGAGAUCCUUUUGGAAAUGCCUGCAAUAAAAGAUUAGAUGAUUGAGUAAACAACAAAUCAUUCUAAAUAUAUAUGUUAACAGUGUCUGAAACAUCAGUGGAGUGUACAAUCUUACAAACCCAAAGCCGGCAGCCUUGUAUGUCUGGCCGACCAUAAUAUACUUCCUGCAGUACUUGUUGAGGAAGAGUCUGAGAUAAGGUAGUUCAUCAACAAUUGCACCUACACCUCCAAUUUUUUGCUUCCUCUUGAGAGUGCAUCAUUAUACUCUUCCAAUGUGCUAUAAUUUCUGAACUUGGAGCUGUCAAAUUUCAUGUGCUUUAUGAAGACGUCUUUGACAAAGGAACCUUCUUGGUACCCAACAUAUUCUCCAUUCUUGAUGAGAUCAUUGAGGUCUGUUAUAGUAGGUUGGAGCUGUUGCAGUGUCAACAUAGAUGUUAAGCUGGCUGUAUAACUUGAUGUCAGCACCAGAACCACAAAAACCCACACAAUCAGCAAAAAUCUUGUUAAGUUACUUGUUACCCUCUCUCCUGCAACAACCAGCCAUAUAUAUGAUUUGUUGAGACACAAGGAAAAAUCCUAUAUCUUUCGUAUAUAAUAAUAUGCUUUGAGUUAGUGUCUUACUAUGAGCAAAAACGAGAGUUGAGAAGGAAAACCAAAAUAUCAUCCCAACUUGGUUGCGUUUGGGUCCUCGGAACUCUUUGUUUACACGAUGUUCGAGUACCCAAACCACAAAACCAAUGAAAACGAAGAAUGCUCCAGUUGUUAUCCAAAGCUCGCUCUUUAGAGGUUUCAAGAAAAUCCAAGCAUCCCUCCUAUCAUCAUCCCUUACCGGCACAACUACAGAAAUACCUGACUCUAUAAAAGGUAAUGUGAAAUCCACAUACUCUGACCGGCUCGCUAAAAUGGUCACAUCACCUACAACUGCAUCAUAGUCCUGGCUCAAGCAAACAUUGAUUAUUCCAGUAUGUAUAGUUGAUUGUAAUAGCAGAAAAUAGAUAUCGAAGUCCCAAAAAGGGCCAUGUUAGUAAGAUAUAGAGCCAAAGAGGUUUAUUGGAACAGAGAUUAUAUAUUACCUGAGAGGUGAUCUUGUGAACAAGAUCAUCAUAGUCUGGAAGAGUGAGGGGAUCUUGUAUUGGAAAUGGAAUAAAUUCGUAAGGGAGAGCAUAUGGCAAAGAUAGGAUGACUUCUUUGAAGACAUCUGCACAGAAACCAGUUGCUGUUACUGCUUGUGUUUUUGAAUCUCUUUCCACUUUAAUGAGUUGCUCCAGCCCUCCUUUGAGAGGAACUCCAACCCUUAACUUCUUCCCACUUGUGGGCAUUUCCCAGCCUCUUGGAACAAUAGUUGAUUCACCAGGCCAAAAAAUGGCUCCUAGUUGCUUAUUAUUACACUUAACUGCUGUUUUACCAUUCAUCUUCAGUUUACACGAAAUGCCAUCCCUCUUCGUCCAAAAUCCAAUGUUUUUCUCUCCUUUCCCAAUUAUAUUCACAAUCUGAUAUGGGAUUGGCUGCAGUUCUCCAUUGAUGAUACGGAAAUCACCACUUAAUCCUUGUUUUAGCACUGUGUUUCGCAUAGAGUCAAUGAGCAGAGAUCCCACUGCUGACGUUCCAAGUGCAUCUAAGUCUGUUAAGUUCUCUCUGGUGUCUGGUUUCUUUAAUUUUGGGAUAGCAGUAGUGCCUACUUUAUCUACUGCUUCUGCUAAUGAGGUGAUGCUAUCGUAUGCCCAUAGCCCAAAAACAUUGAGUUCUAUUUGGUCCAUGUCUGGAUACUCUUGACGGAAUCUCUUUCUCCAUCUCUUUGUGUAGUUGUUAAGCUGAUUUGAUCUUGGAAUGUAAGGUUUUAUACCAAGAACACCUUGCAUUGAUGACUCGAUCACUGAAUGAUCUACCAAGUCCAGAAGACUCGUUAGCACAUCUGUGAUGAUCCAUGCAUAUCCACUGCUCAUCAUCCCUGCUUCUUUGGCCUUGAGAAAAAGGCGGGAGGCAAGAUAUGGACGCAAGUGCACGACGAACACCCUUGUUUGCUUUGUAUUCAUAUUGUAUAACUCCUUGAGAAUCUGAUCAUCAUUGGCUGACGGAGAAAUAACACUUCUAUAGGAGACUAAAGUGCUGAUUUCCAGUAAGGCAUCAGUCAAAUGUGGAACUAUCCCGAACCCAUAGGGGCUAUCCUCAUAGAUGACCACAACCUCCCUCCAAUCAAAGUUUUUAACAAGUGCUGCAAUGGCCUUAGUCUGGCUGGAAGAAGGAAGUGCUGCUCUGAUGAAGAAGGGAUUUUCCUUGACUGUAAGUAAAGGACUUGUUGCUGGAGAAAUGAUUGGGACUUUUACUCUGUUCCCUAAGUCGAUCACAAAAUCAGUUUGUGUAGACAUUUGUGGCCCAAAGAUAGCUUGUACUUGGACAUCCUUUAGCAAGUAUAUGGCUGCACAUACACAAUCAGACAAUAAGAAUUUACCCAAAGUAAGAGUUUAAUAGAAGUGAAUCAUGGAACUGAAUUUACCAGCAGAUGUUGCUUCAACAUCAUCUUUCUUGGAAUCCUUGAUAUGAGGAACUAUCCUUAUGGCACCGCGACUAGCGUUGGCAUGAUAAUCUUCAAGUGCUAGUAAGAUAGAUAUGUGCAUUACUUUUCCCACAUCUGUUUCCAGAUCAAGAAUUAUACCCACAUCCACCUUUACAGCACUAGUGUUAUUAUCUUCACCUCUUAUUCGAACCACAUAGUGGUAAAAGCUAAUGAUGGAGAUAAGUUGAAAUGAAAAGAAUUAGAAAAGUGGCAUCUUGGAUUAUGCAUUUGAAAAAACUCUGGUAGCAAGUAGUCUGAGAGAUGGGCAACAAGCAGUUGUGCUUGUGCAAGAUAACCACACAUUCAGAAUGACAAUUUUCCUAUAAUUAAUAAGACCAAACUCCAUAAAUGAAGAAAGAAAAGUCAAAGAACAAAUGGUUGAAAAUCAAGUAUUCGUUUGAUUAUUGAAAGUGAGGACUUUUCACAUAUGCUACAACCGCACAGCUAGUAAGCAUAUUACCCCUCAGGUUUGACUAAAUAAAAAUUUGACAAAAUUGAUUGGUACUCAUUCCCCAACACCCAAUUACUUUUUGUGUGUACUAUCUAGAGGAUAUAUUCAAGGGAACUUACAUGAAUUCAACUAAUUUAGGAGUUAAUUACUUAAAUACAUUGUAGUUUGCAAUAUUACGUAUUUUACUAGAUUUUGGUAUGUCCAGAUACAUUCAGAUACAUAUAUGUGAGGUUACUUAGGAUCAAAAUUAGGUGUAAUUUGCUCUAGAUGCAUUGUAUCUAAGUGACUUUGCAUGUAUCUGGGAUACAUAACAAAUCUCGCUCGCCUCUCUCCCAUCUCUCACUCUCCUAUGUAUCUGAUAUUCCAUAUACAUGUGAAUCACACCAGAUACAUACACAUAAAUGUAUCUUAUGUGUAUAUAGUGUGAUUCGCAUGUAUCUGGGAUACAUAACAAAUCCCGCUUGCCUCUUUCCUCAUCUCGUUCCCCUAUCUUCCUAUUUUUGUGUAUCUGAUGGCAAAAAUUCAUGUAGCCAAAUGUAUUUUCCUCAAUAUAUGAUAGGAAACUCUUAAUUAGUGAUAGUAUACGAAAUAUUUUAAAAGUAUAGAAUAUAAUAGUAUAUAUGAUAGUGAAGUAUGUCUAAUGAUAUAGUUUUUCUGUAUUGAAAGGACUUCCCAAAUUUUGGCUGAGGCAUAAAAAGUUGACAAAUUUAGCUCAGUUACAAAUUCCACAAUUAAACCAAUAAGUAGAAGAGACCAUUGUUUUCCAACUUGGACAAGGCUAGAUACGACUAGUAAUCUUUAGUUUACGCGUUUUCAGUUACUAGUCUUUGGACACGUGCGUUGCACGUAUAUCCCAUAUUAUAUGGUUGCAUAAUAUAUGUCUAUAGUUACAAAUAUAUGUAUAAAAAAAAAUUGAUUGUGAUAUAAAUUGGAAAACAUGUAUAAGAUAAGAAAUCAAAACAGAUACCCUCAAAUUUCAAACUAUAAGCAUAAUAAGAAUAUGUAUUUCUAAUGAGUUUAAUCAAUCAUACCUUGCAAUAAUCUCUGCAAUUCAUUGAGAAACUUUCAAUCCAUACAUCAACAUUCAAUCGUGUAUAUAUAAAGAAAACUUGAAAUGCAUAACAACAAUUAUAUCUAUAUUUUUUAAAACACUAUAAAGUCAUUUUUUCUUUUUGCAUUAUAAUAUGGAUUGCACACAAUUUCUAUUAAAAAAAAGAAAGACAAAAUUAGGAAAAAUCGUAUCAAUAAAUUGGAAUGAAAAAUGUAAAAUUGUAAUAAGAGGAAGAGAAGAAAAAUACAGUAGAAUAUAUUACCUAACCAUGAAUAAGGAAGUAUGUUGAGUAAAAGAAGAGUAAUGCAAAAGUGUGAACUGAUAUAUGGAGGAAAUUGACAAAUAUAAUAAUCUAUAUUGAAUAAUGAAAAACAACUCUUCAAUUUCUGCAAAAAUUUUAUAACUACGAGCUCAAAAUAAUAUAAAUUUAUUAAUUUAAUAAAUGACAUAAAUAAAUAAAUAACAUAUAUUGUGUGUAUGUGUAGUUAAUGGGGUAGUGAAAAAGACUCUUUCUGAAAUUAUUUUUAUCUCUUUAAAGUAAUUUUGAACUUUUGAUAUUAGUGCUAUAGAAAAUCAUAUAAAGUCAUAAGCCACUGCAAGUUUUUAUAGUAAUUAUCUUAUUAAAUUAUAUACCUAUUAUUAUUUUUAAUUAUUUAUAAUCAUUCCGAAAAUGUAUAAAUUAAUUUUGAAAAGCUUGUAAAAUGAGAAAUUAUUAUUUCUUAUCAUUAUUUUAGCUAUUAUUAACAUUUAGUAUGACAACAUUUUAAAAAAGCAGCUUCCUUUAAAUAUUAAUUGUUUCUAAAUUAACAUAGCCAAGAAUUUAAAAUGUUGUGACGUUUUGUUUAUCUAAACACGCAGAAUUUUGUUUUUGAACCUGGAACAUGUAAUUAAGCCUUGGGUGAAUUAUAAUUUUAUUUUUACUAUUUAAUUAAUUAAAUAAUUUGUAACAUUUUAAUAUAAUGAAGGGGUAAAAUGGUAACUCAACUUUAAAGGUUGGAGCUUCCCACUUUUAGUAAUAUAUGAUAAAUUGGUCAGUAGUAGUAACCUAGUUUAAUUUGAUAUAAUAACAUUCAUGACAAAAUAAAUUAAAUAUGGCUAAUUAAGAAAAUAUAAUUAAAUAUGAUUAUCUUUAAUGUUAUUUAAAUUUGUAGGCGAUUUUUUUUGUAUUUUAAAAUUAAAAAAAGGCCAAAAAACCCACAAAAAGAGAUAAAUAGGAUUGAAGCCCUUAGAGAGCGUCACCUCACCGUUUUCAUAUUCAACUUUAUUAUUAUAUAUGGAUUUAGAUUUUUGCACAACCUUAAAUUUAAGGACACAUUUAGAUAUUAUAUCAAACAUUCAUUUAUUUGAAGUUGAAAUUACAUUUUACAUGAAAAUUGGAUAUUCCAUAUUCACAUUGAGUAUGAAUCUUUUUGUUUUUUUUACAAAAUUCAAAAUAAAAAAAUACAAAACAUAAACUUAUAGAUCAAAUUUUACAUUUGACAUUUGAAAGUUUUACUUUUCAUUAAACGUUUUGUUAUAGAAUUUGGAAUCGCCCUUUGAAAUUAGUAUUUAUAAAUGAAAAUAUUGAUCUAGUCCUGUUGAAAUUGUGUCUGGCCUAGUACUUUUUCUUAUUAGAGUGAUUAUUGAAUUAGGUUUAAUAUCAAUUUUCUUAAUUAGUUUUGUCAAUUGGCAGUGCUAAGAAGAUGGGAAUUUACGUUAUAUUAAAUUAUCUUUACAUUAAUAAAAAAAGAAAUUGUUGUUAGUAUUAUUUGUAAUAUAAUUAAACAAAAAUAACAAUGGGAAGAAAAUAAUAAGUAAAGAUUACACGUUGUAUUAAAAUAAUAAGUAUUAAAAAUUAUGAUAAAUUUUAUAAUAGUCAUAACAGGAAUUUACGCAAUAAUUACUAUAUUAGAAUACUAGAAAAAUUGAUAAGUUCCUCGACAUCUAAUCAUUGAUUAAAAUUUAAAUUAUUAUUUUCUUCUGCGAAAGUUUAAGAGAUUAAAUUAAUGUUUUAAAAAAUAAUAUUAAUUAUUUUCAAUGAUUAAUAAGAAAAUGUAUAUAGCAAGUACAUGUAUUAUUAUUACAUUAUUUAUAUCCACUCUAUAUUAAAUCAUUUUUCUAUUAUAGUUUGACGCAAAUUUCAGAAUGUAAAGAAUGUUUUGGAUUCGAAAAAUAAAUAUUCAAAAUAUACUAACAUGUCAUUUAAUCUUAUGAUAUUUUACAUUUCAUGUGAAAAAAAAUUAAAUAUUAAUUUUUUAAUAUGAAAAAUAUUAAUUUAUUAAUACAACAUAAAAGUAAUAAAGGACAAUAUAUAAAAAUAUUUGAAGUAUUUGAUAUUUUAUUAAAUUAAAAUAAUUCUAAAUUAAUAUAUAGCCGCGCAACGCGCGGGUACGUAUACUAGUGAAGAACAAUAAUAAAGAAGAAGACAAUUGAGUUAAUAUUUAUUUUUUCCAAGUUUAAUUUAACACAUGACCAGUUUUUAUUGGUCAGUGCUGUCAAAAAGUUGCACCCACGCGCCUAAAAUAGGUGAAAUCACGGACUCAGCCACGUAGGCCAAAAAGUGGUAAACAAUUAACUAAAAAAUAAGUUCAGGGGGGUAAUAGGACUUUAGUAAAGGUUAGGUGUGUCUCAGGGAUUUUGGGCAUAGGCUGGGGGGGUACUUAUGCAUUUUCCCUUAUGUUAAAUAUACCAAAAUGUUUUUUAAUCUUAUGACUUUAAACAUGUCACGUGAAAAACUGAAAUUAAAGUGUUGCCAAAAAAAGAAGGGUCAUUUUUUUUAAACAGACUAAACAGAAAAGUAGAUCUUUUUAAAACGGAAGGGAAGUAAUUGUUAAUGCAAGAGGAAGCUGCUUGAAAAGUUACGUAUAUGAUGUUGAAGUUGUCUAACAUGCAAUGCUGGUCCUAUAAUCUUUCAUUAUUUAUUAUCCAUGACUAUGGGUGGAUAAUAAUAGUUAUCUGCUAUGAUCAUAUAUACCUAGGGGUGGACAUAUUACUUAGAAAACUUAUGUUAGGUAAUUUUGAUUUCUAAAAAUACUAUAUGGUGUAUGCUAUUUGCAGAUGAUAGUCCUAAUCGACCAGACUCGUAAUAGAGUUAAUGUUAAGCUAGAGAAGAUAAUAAUGGCUCCCUUCUCAAAUAUUUCAUUGGUAGAAAUUUGCCUUCCAGAAUUUCAUAAUUGCAUCUGAUCCUUUCUGAUAACUCAAAGGGCAUCUUAAAUUGGUGCGGAAGUUUAAUUUUGACAUGGAACGCAAAUAUAUGCGGAAAAUUAGUAAUUCAAUAAAUAUUUAAUUAUGAAUGCAUAUUACAAAAGUGCAAGGAAUUCAAUUGUAAGAUGUUGAAGGUUAAACCCAUAAAUUCUAAAUACUAGAGACGCCUCUUAAUGCAAAUAUAAUAUGGUUUAACUAUUUUAAACCUGGCUCAUCUCUCUUAAGUUGUCCCUGUAAUGUUUUCAUGAACUGGAGUUCCAGGUUCUGUUGUAGAGAACCCUUCAAGUGCAGGGGAUGCUCCUAAGCCGUCGGAAAUUCUGAUUUCUGGGCUUUGCAAAGGAAGGUGGGGCAAUAUUUCAGUAGAGGCUUCACUUUCUGCAAACAGCAUAGCUGUUUGGAUUUCAUUGCCUUCAGAUGGCUCUUCUGACAUAGAAUUAGAGUUGUCUCUCUCUUUAUCAAAGGCAUUUGCUAUUGCAGAAAGCUUUUGCCAUACUGAAUCAUCAGUGGCUAAGAUUUCUCUAUUCUGAUAAAGGAAGAUGAGGAAGAAUAGGAGAAGAGCGGAGCCCGCUGAUACACCAGCUAUGAGGAAAAGGCCCUUAAAACUAUCGAGCAUGAGGCUAGAUGCUAUAGCCAUUCCAUCUUGCUUUGGACAAUCUGUUUCAUUCCCAAACCAUUUCUGUAUUAUGUUAUUCAUAAACUCUCCUUCCAUCACCUGCAAGACUGCUCUUGAGACGUCAGGUACCAAAGGAGAUCCUUUUGGAAAUGCCUGCCAGAAGUUGGGGGAAAAUAAAAGAUUAAAUUAUUGAGUAGAACAUAAACCAUUCUAAACAAAUGUAAACACGUUCUGAAACAUCACUGGAGUGCAACAUUCUUACGAAUCCAAAGCCAGCAGCCUUGUAUGUCGGACCGACCAUAAUAUACUUCCUGCAAUACUUGUUGAGGAAGAGUCUGAGAUAAGGUAGUUCAUCAACAAUUGCACCAACACCUCCAUUUUUACUUCCUCUUGAGAGGGCAUUACUAUACUCUUCCAAUGUGCUAUAACUUAUGAACUUGGAACUGUCAAACUUCAUGUGCUUCAAGACAUCUUUGACAAAGGAACCUUCUUGGUACCCAACAUAUUCUCCAUUCUUGAUCAGAUCAUUGAGGUCAGUUAUAGAAGGUUGGAGCUGUUGCACUGUCAACAUAGAUGUUAAGUUGGCUGUAUAACUUGAUGUCAGCACCAGAACCACGAAAACCCACACAAUCAGCACAAAUCUUGUGAAGUUACUAGUAACCCUCUCUCCUGAAACAACCAGCCAUAUAUAUGAUUUGUUGAGAAACAAGGAUAAAUCCUAAAGCUUUUUGUAUAUAAUUUGCUUUGUGUUAGAGACUUACUAUGAGCAAAAACGAGAGUUGAGAAGGAAAACCAGAAUAUCAUCCCAACUUGCUUGUGUUUGGGUCCUCGAAACUCUUUGUUUACACGAUGUUCAAGUACCCAAACCACAAAACCAAUGAAGAUGAAGAAUCCUCCUGUUGUUAUCCAAAGCUCGCUCUUUAGAGGUUUCAAGAAAAUCCAAGCAUUCUUUCUAUCAUCAUUCUUUACCGACACAACAGCAGAAAUACCGGACUCUGAAAAAGGUAAUGUGAAAUCCACAUACUUGGCUCGGCUCGCUAAAAUGGUCACAUCACCUACAACUGCAUCAUAUUCCUGGUUCAAGCAAACAACGAUUAUUUUAGUAUAUAUGGUUGAUCUCAGUCAAAGAAGAAAGUAGAUAUGGAAGUCCCGGAAAGGAGCAUGUAAGGUAUUCAGCCAAAAAGGUUAAUUCAAAAAAGAAUUGGAUAUUACCUUUGAGGAGAUCUUGUAAACAAGAUCAUCAUAGUCUUGAGAAGUGGGGCUAACUAUUGGAAAUGGAAUAAAUUCGUAAGGGAUGGCGUAUGGCAAAGAUUGGAUAACUUCUUUGAAGACAUCUGGAAUGAAACCAGUUGCAGUUACUGCUUGUGUUUUGGCAUCUAUUUCCACUUUAAUGAAUUGCUCCAGCCCUCCUUUGACAGGAACUCCAACCCUCAACUUCUUCCCACUUGUGGGUAUUUCCCAGCCUCUCGGAACAAUAAUAGAUUCACCAGGCCAAAUGAUGGCCGCUAGUUGCUCAUUCAUACUCUUAGCUGUUUUACUAUUCAUCUUCAGUUUAUGCGAAAUGCCAUCCUUCUCGGUCCAGAAUCCAAUGCUUCUCUCUCCUUUCCCAAUUAUAUUCACAAUCUCAUAUGUGUAUAGCUGCAAUUCUCCAUCAAUGAUACGGAAUUCACCACUUAGUCCUGUUUUUGGCUUUGUAUUUCGCAUAGAGUCAAGGAGCAGAGAUCCAAAUUCUGAGGUUCCAAGUGCAUCUAAGUCCGUUAAAUUCUCUCUAGUGUCUGCUUUCUUGAAUUUUGGGAUGAUGGUAGUGCCCACUUUUGCUAUUGCUUUUGUUAAUGCGGUGAUGCUAUCAUAUGCCCAUAGCCCGUAAACAUUGAGUUCAACUGGGUCCAUGUCUGGAUACUCUUGACGGAAUCUCUUUCUCCAUCUCCUCGUGUAAUUGUUAAGCUCAUUUGAUCUUGGAAUAUAAGGUUUUAUACCAAGAACACCUUGCAUUGAUGACUCAAUUACUGAAGUAUCUACCAGGUCCAGAAGACUCGUUAGCACAUCUGUGAUGAUCCAUGCAUAUCCACUGUUCAUCAUCCCGGUUUCUUUGGCCUUGAGGAAAAGGCGGGAGGCAAGAUGUUCUUGCAAGUGCACAAUGAACACCCUGGUCUGCAUUGUCUUCAACUUGUAUAGCUCCCUGAGGAUUUGAUCAUCAUUGGCUGAAGGAGAAAUACCACUUCUAUAGGAGACUAAAGUAUUGAUUUCCAGCAAGGCAUCAGUCAAAUAUGGAAGUAUCCCGGUUCCAUAGGGGCUUUCCUCAUAGAUUACUACAACCUCCCUCCAAUUAUAGUUUUUAACAAUUGCUGCAAUGGCUUUAGUCUGACUGGAAGAAGGAAGUGCGCCUCUGAUGAAGAAGGGAUUUUCCUUGACUGAAAGUGAAGGACUAGUUGCUGGAGAUAUUAUAGGAACUUUAACUCUGUUCCCCAAGUCGAUCACAAAAUCAGUUUGUGUAGACAUUUGUGGCCCAAAGAUAGCUUGCACUUGGACAUCCUUUAGCAAGUAUAUGGCUGCACAUACACAAUCAGACUAUAAGAAAUUGUCUGAACAUCUCUUUUUCAAAAUAGGAAAAGUAAUAUCUUAGAGAAAAAGUGAAUCUUUUGAAGCAAAGAGAGAAAAAUAAUCCUAGUUUAACAUAAGUAAAGCUUAGAGCUGAAUUUUACCAGCUGAUGCUGCUUCAACAUCAUCUUUCUUUGAAUCCCUGAUAUGAGGAACUAUCCUUAUGGCACCGCGACUAGUGUUGGCAUGAUAAUCUGCAAGAGCUAGUAAGAUAGAUAUGUGCAUUACUUUUCCCACAUCUGUUUCCAGAUCAAGAAUUAUGCCCACAUCCACCUUUACAGCACUAGUGUUAUUAUCUUCACCUCUUAUUCCAAUUACAUAGUGGCAAAAGCUAAUGAUGGAAACAAGUUGAAUGAAAAUAAUUAGGAAUUUGCAUCUUGGAUUAUGCAUUUGAAAAACUCUUGUAGAAAGUAAUAUGAGUGUUGGGCAAGAAGCAGUUGUGCUUGUGCAAGAUUUAUAACCACCAUUCAGAGAUGUGUUUAAAGGUAUCUUAACUAUAACUUUUCUACAAUUAAAUGAGACCAAACCUCAUAACUGCAGAAAGAAAAGUCAAAGUUUUCAAAGAAUUACAAAUGGUUUAAAAUAUACUAGUUUGAUUAUUAAAGAAAGAGGACUUUUCACACUUGUUAGACCACAAGCUAGUAAAGCCUCCUCAGUUUUGACCAAAUCAAUAAAUGACUAAAUGAACAUAGUGACAAAAUUGAUUUGUACUCAUUCUCCCAAUACCCAAAGAAGUUUUUGUAUUCAUUGGAUGACUAUCUAGAGGCUACUAAAAGGACUUCCCAUAUUUUGGCUAAGUCAUGUUGAAAGUUGAGUGCUAGCUCAGUUACAAAUAAGUAGAAGAGGUCAGUUUCUAUGACUUGGACAUUGGAAAAGGGCAGCUAUGACUAGUAAUCUUUAGUUUACUUAGACGGUUCAGUUUAGAAUUGGUCAGUAGUAUAAAACUUUAUGGUGGUAGAGGCACAACUUGUAGGGUUGUUCCGGGUUAUCGUUAAAAAAUCAAAUCAAACUUGUAGGGUUGUUUGGUUAGGUUUUAAAUUUUGAAAAUCAACACUAUUUGGUUUGGUUUGGUUUUAAAACUGUAAAAAUAACCAAAUUGAACGUGUAAUUAUAAUAAUUGCUUGAUUGAAUCCACAGUAACUUUCAUGUGUAUUGUUCAUGUACUAGGUGUCUGUGUUUAUAUGUCUUCAAAAAAAUUAUUACUUCCAAAACAAAAAAACAAAAAAAAUUGAACCAAACCGACAAUUAUUUUUUUAUUUGGUUUUAGAAUUUAGAAACCGACUAAAUUGAUCUGGCUUUGAUUUUAGCCAAUAAUCAAUCCAAAUCGAACCAUGAACACCUCUAGGCACAAAUAUAACUUGGUAUGUGAAGGAUUACUAUAAUACCUUUCCUUCAACUUUUUUUUAAAAAAAAAAAACCUCUAUUGGUAAAUUUUUCAAAUCAGUUUUUUUUACUCAUGAGCUCUAUUCCUUUCCCUUUUAUAUUUUUUAUAAUAUAAAAUAUAAGAUAAAAUAAAGAAUUUUUUUAAAAAGAAAUGAGAAAAAAAAUGAUGAAGAUGAGGGGUGAGGAGCUAAAGGAGAGAAGAAAGAUAGAACAUAAGAUGAGAAAGGUAGGGUCCCCAUAUUUUCUUUAUCAAAAAGUAAUUUCUUACCUACCAAAGUCAUAUUUAUGCCUCUACCACCACAAAUUUUUUCGUAUUAACUUGCUUGCAAGUUGCAAAACCAAACAAAGCAAGCAUACCCAAAUGGAGAUGGAAUCUUGGAAUGAGGAUGGUUGGGUAUACAUGUAGGUUUCAAUGUCAUUAUCUCAAUAUAUAUAUACUAGAGGGGCAUGGCCCGUGCUAAGCACGGGCCCAACAUAAACAUAGUUAGUCUAUUAUUCUCUAUAUAGGCAAAAUAUUGUUGGAAACUAUUCACUUAUAUAAGUAACUAAUUCAAGUUAUGUGUUUGUUAACAAAGUUUAUUCAUUCAAGCAUCUGCAAACUAUACACCAUACCAAACCACCAAUAAAGAAAAAGACAUGAAAUGUUAACACAAAUUAAACAACUUCAAAAGAAAGAAAGAAAAGAAGAAGAAUCAAGGAGGUGAAAGAACAUUAAAAUUUUGCAGUCUUAUCAGUCAAAUUCUAGUGGUGUCACAACUUUCACAGGGACCAUCAACUCUUCAACUUUUUGUACAUAUUUGCUUUUCAGUGCCAAUAAAUUAUUAUCUGUCGUUCCUGCAAGUUUUUGGAAAAAGUGUAUCAACAAUUGAUGCUAAAGAUCAUAUACUUUGUUUUGUAUUUUAUUUUACCAAGUAAAAAAGUCAGUAAUUGAUAUACCUAAUUUACUGCACUUAAGACAUUCUAGCUUCUAAAUCUAAUAAAACAAUACUAAUGAACACUUUUAAAUAAAUGAAAGAUGAUGGUACCUAAGGGAUGGAGUAAAUGAAUCAUGUGAAGUAAGCAAAUUGAAGUCAAAGUGAAUGUGUCAAUUACGUGGCCAUUAUAUCAAAUAUUUGUCAAUUCUAACCAAAAAGAAAUUGUUAGACAGUAAAUUUGUAAAACUUUAUAGAAAAUGACCUUUUAUUUUGUCUAUUUUGCCCUUUCAUGUGCUCCUUCAUGUCGCUUCCCCUUUCCAUUUUGUCGUCCCUCUCAUCUCAAUUCCCGUUUUGUUGUCCUCUCUUCCCAAUACUAUUUUUAUCCAGCUUGAUCUGGAAAAGAGGUAACUGACAUAUUAGUGUACUUAAUUUGGAACAAAAUCACUUGGAGAACAAUAAAGUAGGUAAUAAACACGAACAAUACUUAGACUCUGAAGUCUUGGUGAUAGUUAAGUAGUAGAAUGAGGAAGAGAUUAUACAAAUCAAUAGAGUUCAAACAACAACAUAUCUUAUCAAAUCUUAUCACUACCUCGUGGAGGUAGAGGUACUCUUUCCGAAAGAUCAAAUCACUGAUCUCGAUAGUUAUUGUUGAGUAGUUAAUACAUAAAUCUCUCCAGAGUAACAAAAAAAGGGCAGAUAGGGAUUAAAAGAAAUUAAGAAAAUGAAAUACGAUGCUACAUUUCUCAAGAGUUAAAAAGAGGGACAACCAAUUUGAGUAGUAGAUUCAGGUUGAUGGUGAUCUACUAUACAACUAAAUGGUGCAACAACUCAAAAUCUCAAGGAAAACAAAUCAAGACAUUCUUGCAAAUUAAAGGCACUAAUAAAACUGCGGCAGAAAUUCUCGUGACUGUGUGGUUCUAUAUGGAAAAUGACUUCCACAUGCUUGGUCUUAGCAAUACGCCAUGUGCACAAGGAAAAAUAUAUUAUAACCACGCGUUUCUUGUUACCGAUAAACAUGACUUAUGAGAAAGUCAGUUUUUAAGAGAAUUCGAAGAACAACAGGAUAAGAAACUACCCUUUCAUUUACUUUCUCAAACACUUAAUAAGGCUUCCGUUUUUUCAACAUUCUUGCAGAGUUGAUUGUGGAGAUCAACAAUUCAUCCAUUUGACCAUUAUCACUUGUAGACACACUAAACUGACAAAGAGUCUUAUAUCAGGGGUGUAUAAAUGAAAACCCCUUCUUUUCAUAUCUAUUUGAAUUGAUUAAACUUGUCGCACAACAAAUAGGAUCAACGUUUUCAGUAAUCAAAGGAAAGAAAAAAAUCUACAUCAAAGGCAUGUUAUAUGAAGUAUGUGAAAUAAGGAUUGUAGAAACGAAGGAGAAAUAAAGAUUUGAUUAGCUUACCAUUCAAAGUAAUUGUAGACAAACAAAGAAGAAGUGAAUAUUUGAUCACCGCUUACCGUUCAACUCAACUGUAGACAAACGAAGAAGAAGUGAUUGACCCUUAAUUUGGAAUCAAUUGAUUUUUUACUAUAUCUCGAUAAAAAAUUUAAUUUAUGUAACUCAUUUCUAUAUAAACAACCAAGAUGCUUAGAACAUACAUAACAUAUUCAAUGUGGCUUACUUCUAUAAAAAUCAUAAAUAAAAUAUAAAGGAAAGCUUCAAACUCUACCUAAUUAGUUCAUAUGAUCAGCAAAAUCCAAAAAACUUGAAAAAAGAAACAAAUUUGUACUCUCUUGCAGAAAUAAGUUUUGUCUUUUGGAAACAACCUCUCUAUCUCCACGAAGUAGGGGUAACAGUCUACGUACACUCUACCUCCUCAAACCUCACUUAUGGGAACUACACUGGGUAUGUUGAUGUUGUUGUUGUUGAAAUAAGCACAAAAGACUGGACUCUCACUAAAACUUCCGUAAAGAUCAAAUUCUUAAGUUUCAUUCUGCAACUAAAAAUCCCGAAAAUGAAGAAUCAGAUUACUCACAUUGACAAAAGUGGGGUAAAAAAUAACUUGAGCUUUGCUAUUCAAAACAUCAACAACUUCUUCAAUCCCAGAAAGUCUUUUAAUUGCCUUUAAAUGCCUAGCACUAUUUUUUUAAGAAGAAAUUACUGAACAACCUUAGUGAAAAUUCCAAAUUCGCCAUUGCAUCCAACCCCCGUCCCAUCCCUGGACUAUCCUACACCAGCUACCCUUAAAUCCUCACCCAUCCAUCCCAUUGAGUUUUGCUGGAUUACAACGGCCCCCAUCCCAUCCCUUGACUAUCCUAUACAAAAUGGAAAAUCUCUUCUCCAAGGAGUUAGGAGACAAUAAUCGACAUAACUAUGUCAUCUUAUAUAGGGACAAAAUGAAUACAAUCUCACCCUGUGGUCUUCGAAUCUAUAGUAGACAAACGGUAAGUAAAGAGAUAUUGUAUAACUGCACCAACUAUUCAUUAUUUCUGAAGUAAUACAGUGAGUGCAUCACAUGUUAAAGAAAUAAAAUUAAGUUUAUUACUUUUAUUCAUGAACAUGUACAACUCUUGAGAUGAACUUUAAUUUGUCAGUAAACUAUAAAAUAGAGGUAAUUUGUAAAGGCUUAAGCCUAUUGGAUUAGAUUAUGUUCUCCGUGGGGGCAGUUUUUCUUCAACUCCAAAACUGUAUACGUCACUUCUGGUGGUUAUAUGAUUUACAUAUGAGAGGCGACAAUUAGAAGCUGAGAAAAGAAAUGAUCUCAGGUUACAUGACAGAACAAACCAAGUAAUGUUACACUCCCAAUUUCUUUCAGGACACAUAGUAUUGAUAUUUGCGAGCAUGAAAGACUGAAGGAUUAAACAGAGGAGAUAACUCUUAAGAGAGACCUCAUCAAGAACUUAAGAAAAUUUGUGUGAUAAUUUAACAAAUUUAGCGAGGCUAAUUGAUGAAGGAAGUCUAUUCACACUAUAUUCAUUUUAGUGCACUUAUUGACUAAAUGUUUCCCAAGUUCGAAUGUGAGGCCUCUAUUUGAGGAUGUAAUAAAACAACAUUUACCAUUAGAACUAAUUGAGCAGCUUGUGUUAACCCUCUGUAUUUACCUGACGAAUAUGCUUUAAGGUGGAGGAAUUUUUUGCAGUAGUCUUCUAUUAAAACAUCAUUUAAGCUACCUAAAUGAAUGGACAACAUGUAGUUUUUCGACGCAGAAACAAAAAAUCUACCUAACAAAGAGACAGAUAUAUCAAAGAAGCCACAGGUCGAUAAUCAGAGUGUCCUAAAGAGUUACAUUUACAAAAGUUGAGGAGACUGGACACGCUGUCAAAUUAACUCAACACUGAUGCUGCAUUGAAAGUGAGAGUCCAUGUAAUGUGGAUACAAUUCAUUAAGUACACACAAAACAGUCAGCAACUAAUUUCAGUGAUGUGCAACAAAAUUCAUAUAACAUAGCCACCAAGUUGACCAUAAAAUCCAUCAAAACACAUUAAUGAGGAAUUCGUCUUACUUCAGUUUUGAAUUCCCCCGGCUUUUAAGUAUACAAGCCACAUUUUUACUGAAUUUUCUCUUCAAGUGCAGUAAAGUAGCUCAAAGAACAGAAAGCAAAGUUACAACUGACAACUACAUCGAGAAAGAGGCUACUAUGGACUGUCAAUUUUUACAUGUGAAUCCAAAAAUUAAGCUCGCAUAACAACGGGUAAUAUACCAAAUUCAUAUUAAAUUUUAGAUCAAACAACAUCAUUUAUCAUGCCAAAACAGUCUAGCUGUGCAACUUUUAAGCAAUUUGGAUACACUUAUAUCUAAAAAUUGGCUAAACUAUUGAUAAACGUACUAUCUAAUGCUGGAAAUAUGACAUAGUACAGUGAAUAUUGAUCAAUUUACUACCAUCGCUGCAUUUUGAUACUCCUUGAACAGAGAAACGGAUGGAAAUGGACCAGCCAAGCUACGCCUAAUUACACCAUCUCUAUCUUUUAACUACUUUUGUACUUGGCUUCCGAUUGACGCUCAGCUCAGGUAAAGCACAAGAACAAUUAGGAGUAAAUUGAAAUUGUAUAUUACCAGUGGUCAUAUACUCGGGAGUAGCACAACUGAAUUGUAUGGACAAAUCAUAAGAGGGCAACAGAAAUAUUGUUAAAACUUGUAGAAGACUAAAUUUUAAAGUAGUUUUAGAUACAGCAGCCAGCAAAAUGUUAGAUGAUUUGAAAUCCUGAUACAUAAUUUUAGCUUCUGGGCUGUGGAGAUAUGUCAGUCCUUUAGCUGCCUUGAGAGUAACCUUCAUUCGGAGAUUCUAUGAUAGCGGUUGGAAAUAAGCACUCCUCUGUUCAAGAUGUACCAAAGGUUUAUUCAAUGACAUUACACGGAUAAUAUUAGUGGAUGUCCUCAAAUUAGAUGUGGAUUCAAGAUUUCAAGUUUAUGGAUUUCUAUAAUGAACUAAGUUCAUAGUAAAAUAAAUUUCUUAUACAUGGUUUAGAAAAAACAAUUGGGUCCCCAUGAAUCUACAUAUCAUAUUGUGGAUCUGUUCUUGCGUUAAAUAUGCAGUUAUGGUUUCAUACAAACUAUACUUACUUCUGAAUAGAUGAUUUUCCAAACUUCCCCUCGGCAUGAAUUCGCACACCAGAAUCUUGUGUUCAUCUUCUAACCUGGCUCAGGUAAGCAAUUUUCGCCUGUAGUUUAAGUGUACAGAGAAAACAGUUAAUCAACUUAUCAAGAUCAAGAAUUAUAGGAAAGCUUCAAUGUCUUUGAUAAAACAAUCAUCGGAUAUUUUAAAGGGAAGAGUUUAUAUACCAAUCAUUCCUUGUGACCUUGAAAGCUUUCUUCAAGAAUUUCACUUUGACUUUGAGGAGUCAACUGAGCCGAUAAAUAUGAAUGUGAUCAUGGAAAUGAUGCCUAAUUAAUAUGUAUCUUUGUAUGUCUUCUGUCUGUUCCUAGUAAAAGUUGCACCAGUUUACAUCAAUUAAGUAAUAAACUGAAUAAGUUAUAACAUGACUAUCUUAUAGCUUAUUUCAAACUGAACACGUACAUCUUCAUUACGUUUUUUAAAAUUUAGUAGAAAUAGAAAUGUAUAAUGGUACCUGAUAAGCAAAUCAAAUUCGUGACUAUCUUCUUGGCUCAUUCGUUAUGGAUGAACUUGAAGUUUCAUAAUGAACUUACUUUCAGCAGGGUUAUAAGCAUCCAGAUCAUAAAAUUCUUCAGGGGCAAAUGGUAUAGGAACAAAUCUCUGAGCCAAUUUUGUAAUUCCCUCAAGGCGGUAACUAUUGAUUGAAAUCUGCAUUUUUCCAUAGCUUUCAGAUAAAUGAAUAAGAUGUGUUAAAAAUGGAGAUUGUUUGCUAUUUAUAUACCGAAACUUGCACUCUAUGAAAAAUAAAUAACUUAUCUUACAAAGAAUUCUUCAUGUUCAAAGAAAGUCUCCCGUGUCAUAUAAGCAAAUUAUAGUUUAUGUUUAUCUACAUAUACAUAUGUUAGUAUUCAACAUUAUAAUUCAACUGCAUAUCCAACUGGAAAAUUAAAUCAACUAAAGAGGGAGAAAUACUGGACUUUCCACAUAUGAGAAAGGGUUGUGAAAAUAGGGUAACUCUAAUAGCUAAUCCUUCCAGUUGAAAGUGUUUUUGAGAAAAAAAAUCAAAUUAAGUUCGAUGUACCUGAUAACGCUCAAUGUUCCCUGCAUGGCAUCUUCUCAAUUUCUUUCCUUUCCUUUCUUCUCCAAGUACUUGUAAAGUCCUAUUUAUGAAAAAUUAACAAAUUGAAAAAACACCCACAUCAAGAACAAAAGCGGAAGAAACACUACAUUUCAAUAAUCAAAAGCACAAAAAAUUGAAAUACAAAGCGGGACAACGGAGAAGAAGAGGAGUAAACGACCAUAACAACAACAUCCAAUCAAGUUUAGAUUCAGUACAUGCAACAUUACCACAACCUAAACACCAAAAUUGAUGAAUAAAAAAAAGUCGGAACUCAUCAAAUGAAAAAAUCGACAAAACAGAUCUAAAGUCAAAAGGCAAAACAAAAAUGAGAAGAAAGAAGGAAGGGAAGAAGCAGUGCAUACCUAGGAAGGUAUGCAAUUUAACUGAGAAUUUCAUAUGAGGGCUUGCAAAACCCUUCCAUUUUGCAGAGCAUUUUUUCUUGGGACAGAGAAUGGAUGCAGAGGAACAGGGAUAUAUCACAUAGCUAGGACACGUGUUUCACAGAUGAAUAUACAGAUACACAUUAGUUAGAAAGCAAUGAGUCAAAUUACCAAAUUAACCCUAUUGGUACAAUUAACUUGAAUUUUGGUACAACUUGUAUAUGUUGUGUUAGUCCGAACUCUUGUUGGCUGUAGAAGGACACGUGUAGCCCACGUGUUUAUUCAAUAGUGAAUAGGGCUUAAUGGUACAGUACAAUUUUUUAUACUAUUGGUACAACUUUGUAGAGCUGUGUUGGUACUCUUCUUGUUGGCUUAUAUAUAAGGGUAAAGAGCUGUGUUGGUACUCUUCUUGUUGGCUUAUAUAUAAGGGUAAAGAGCUGUGUUGGUACUCUUCUUGUUGGCUUAUAUAUAAGGGUAAAGAGCUGUGUUGGUACUCUUCUUGUUGGCUUAUAUAUAAGGGUAAAGAGCUGUGUUGGUACUCUUCUUGUUGGCUUAUAUAUAAGGGUAAUAUAUAUACUCCCUCCGUCCCAAUUUAUGUGGCACCCUUUAUUUAUAGUCUGUUCCAAAAAACAAUGUCAUCUUACUAUAAUUAGAAACAAGGGAAAAGACUCAAAUAUGUUAUUGAAAUUUGAGAAAAGACUCAUUUAUGUCGUCCGUUAAAAGUUUGGUUCAUCUAUGUCAUUUUCGUUUGAGAAAAAACUCAUCCAUAUCAUUAGUUGUAAACUAAAAAUAAUUUUGGUUUUGUAAGAUCAUUUUAUACACGUGGUCAAUUAUGAUUUGGCCAUGUCAUCAAUUAAAUCAUUUCUAUAGAAGAGAAAAGGUUCAAAUAUGUCAUCGAACUUUGAGAAAAACUCAUUUAUAACAUCCGUUAAAAGUUUGUCUCAUCUAUGCUAUUUCAGUUAAUAAAUAAUGGCAUGAAUGAGGUUUUUCUCAAAUGAAAAUGGCAUAGAUGAGCCAAUUUUUUAACGAAUGACAUAUAUGACCUUUCUCAAAGUUCGAUGGCAUAUUUGAGUUUUUUCACUAGAAACAAUUUCAUUUAAAAUUCACUGUUAUCCUUAAUGAAAUUAUUUACAAACACACAAAUAUCUAAGGAUUGUUUUAAAUCACAAGUUUAAAAGUCUUUUUUUAAAAAAAUAAAUAUAUCGUGUCAAGUUAAACAAUGCCACAUAAAAUGAGACGGAGAGAGUAAUUGUUAAUGCAAGAGGAAGCUGCUCGGGAAGUUACGUGUAUGAUGUUGAAGUUAUUUGACAUGCAAUUGAGGUGAUCCUAUAAUCUUCCAGUAGUUAUGACUAGUAAAAUCACUCAAUUUAUAAAAUAAUACUUAAAAUAUAUGAGUCAUUAAAACUAAAACACUAUAUUAUCUUACAUAUAAGAUUACAUAUAACAAACAUUAAUAAUGUAAGUAAAAAAAAAUUUGAAUAUGUUAACAAAUUUUUGAAUUUUUUCCUCAGACAUAUAUCACAAUUGUAAAAUCUAUGCAACUUAAAUGUGUUCUUGUUCUUACGAAACGCCUUUGUGUAUAUAUAUUCUUAUUUUAUUCUCUCUUUUUUUCCUUUUAAUGAUGAUUAAAUAACCAUUAAUUUAUUAUUUCCUGAAUAAUUCAUUCAUUAGAUGUUCUUGAGUUUAUGUGAUAAUGACAAAUAAUAGUAUAGAUUCUUUUAAGGAAUUUUUUACUGUACCUUCAACAAUUUCAUGAUCAGUAGAGAAAACUUGCAUGAAUACUCAAUUAACAUGUGUUGUUUAAUCUGUACUAACAAAUACUUAAAACAAUAACUUUGUAGAAACAUAAACACAAGUUUAAAACAUGUACUCAAAAACAAUAAUUAAUAACAUAAGCAUAAAUUAAUGAUUGUAAAAAAAUAUACCAGGAUCUGUAAUAAUAGGAUGAAACAGAAAGGAAAAAACUGUACACGAAUAUUUAAUUGUGCAGAUUAAGAAGAAGAAGUUCAAAAUUUUCGUUUUUUUAAAAUGAGAGGAAAUCACUCUAUUUAUAGCUAGACAACAAAGGGUAGUGUGAACAAAUGUUUAUUGUGCCUUAUCGAAAAGGUCACAACUCUUUGGAAAAGUUACAACUGUUUGGAAAGGUCAUAACCUUUCAUAAAAGACACAACUUUUCAUAAAAGUCGCAACUCUACAUAGAAGUUACAACUUUUCAUAAAAGUCGCAACUGUUCAUAUAAGUCGCAACUUUUCAUAAAAGUCACAACUUUUCAUUAAAGUAGCAAAUUUUUAUGAAAGGGGAAGGAUAGUUUUGUAAAUAUAUUAAUUAAAAAAGGAAUCAUGGUUUGUGAUGGCGCCACGUAGGCAGGCCUAGGAUUCUCUUUUAUAUAUAUAUAUGAUAUAUGAUAUGAUUAUUUACUGUGGUCGUUUUCUGAUAUGAUCACAAUAAGAUAUAACCGUCUAUUAUCUUUUAAACUUGUUUUUCUUUUUAGUUUGCAAUAUAUUUUGGAUUGGUAACAUUAGUAGUAUUAAAUUGUUAACAGCACUAGUUUGCAAUAUUUUUGGUUUCUACAAACAUUAUUUGCACAUAUUGAAAGAAAUAUAUAUGAUAUGGUUUCAUUGAAUUAUAUCCUCUACAUAAGCAGUGAAGACAAACAAAGUACUAAUGUUAUUUAAAUUGUCUCUAAAAUUUUGAUGAUUUAACAAACUUUGAGAUCUAACGAACGACCAGAUUCCAAGAGAGAUUGAGAGUUCCGUUUAUGAAAAAAACAGCGGUCUAAAAGCUGCAACACCUGCUGUGGUUGGUGCACGUAUUUUGCAGCAGACAUUCAGCCAAUAGCAGGGCAUUGCUUCAAGAGUUUGGGUCCAUCCUAUAAUACACCUCUUUGACAUUGACACAAACUCAAGUUUUUGCAAUAUAAAAAUUCACAACAGCAAAAGUCAUUCUCUCAGGGAAAUAUUUCUCGAUAAAUGAUAGAGUUAUCAUCGUUCUUAUGUGUUUUUAGGGCUUAUAUUUCUGUGCUUAUACUUGUAAGAUCUAUUCCUACGUUAUAAAGGAAUUAGAUCAUUUGAAGUUUUUUCUGAGUAUUCCGAGUUAUAUCUAGAGUUAGUUAUGUUGUAUUCUUGAAUUCUAGAUCAACUAUAGCUAGUUGAUUUAGUGGGUCAUAGAGUUAUUGCUUAGUUUUUGAGUAACAGAGUUGUUACUAUGAGGGGAAGGGAUUAAGAGUUUAAUUCCUAGGUUACAAGAGUUUGUAAUCUGAAGCUUUGCACUUUUGAUGAUAAUGGAGUUGGGUUAAAUCCUGUGAGACAGACCGUGGUUUUUUCCUCCCUUGAACAAGGGGCUUUCCACGUAAAACUCUUGUAUUUGUUUUAAUUUGUGUUAUUUAUUUUCCACACAAUUUUUCUUUCAAGGGACUUGGUCCAUUGACCGUUAGUGGACGCAUACAUUCUAUGAGUACUAAUAAGAUUGAAAAAGAAACCACUAAGAAAAAGUUAGGGUUAAAUCCAUCAAAUGGAAUCCUGGAGCCACCUCUUGAUGCUAAUAUUCUGGCCAAGAUCAGUAACAAAGAUAUAAUGUAAUCUGGUUUAACUAACCCUAAAGCUAGCUCAUCUCUGUGCAAUCUCAUAUAGGGCCCUAUUCAGGUGUGUCACAAUUAUGGUAGUAGCUAUAUGUGUCAUCUUUCUUCAAUUGUGUCUGUAAUGGUUUCAUGAACUGGAGUUCCAGGUUCUGUUGUAGAGAACCCUUCAGCAGCAGGGGAUGCUCCUAGUCCGUCGGAAAUUCUGAUUUCUGGGAUUUGCAAAGGAAGGUCAGGCAAUAUCUCAGGAGAAGCUUCACUUGCUGCGAGCAAUUUAGGUGCAUUGCUUUCAGAUGGCUUUUCUGACAUAGAAUUAGAGUUGUCUUUCUCUUCAUCAAAGACUUUUGCAAUUGCUGUAAGCUUCUGCCAUAUUGAAUCAUCAGUGGCUAAGAUUUCUCUAUUCUGAUUAAGGAAGUUGAGGAAGAAUAGGAGAAGAGCGAAGCCUGCUGAUACACCAGCUAUGAGGAAAAGUCCCUUAAACCUAUCUAACGUGAGGCUAUCAGAUGUUAUAGCCGUUUCAUCUUUCUGUGGACAAUCUGUUUCAUUCCCAAACCAUUUCUGUAUUAUGUUAUUCAUGAACUCUCCUUCCAUCACCUUCAAGACUGCUCUUGAGACGUCAGGUACCAAAGGAGAUCCUUUUGGAAAUGCCUGCAAUAAAAGAUUAGAUGAUUGAGUAAACAACAAAUCAUUCUAAAUAUAUGUUAACAGUGUCUGAAACAUCAGUGGAGUGUACAAUCUUACAAACCCAAAACCGGCAGCCUUGUAUGUCUGGCCGACCAUAACAUACUUCCUGCAGUACUUGUUGAGGAAGAGUCUGAGAUAAGGUAGUUCAUCAACAAUUGCACCUACACCUCCAUUUUUGCUUCCUCUUGAGAGGGCUUCAUCAUAUUCUUUCAAUGUGAUAUAACUUCUGAACUUGGAGCUGUCAAAUUUCAUGCGCUUUAUGAAGACAUCUUUGACAAAGGAACCUUCUUGGUACCCAACAUAUUCUCCAUUCUUGAUGAGAUCAUUGAGGUCUGUUAUAGUAGGUUGGAGCUGUUGCAGUGUCAACAUAGAUGUUAAGCUGGCUGUAUAACUUGAUGUCAGCACCAGAACCACAAAAACCCACACAAUCAGCAAAAAUCUUGUUAAGUUACUUGUUACCCUCUCUCCUGCAACAACCAGCCAUAACAUAUUCUCCAUUCUUGAUGAGAUCAUUGAGGUCUGUUAUAGUAGGUUGAAGCUGUUGCACUGUUAACAUAGAUGUUAAGCUGGCUGUAUAACUUGAUGUCAGCACCAGAACCACAAAAACCCACACAAUCAGCAAAAAUCUUGUUAAGUUACUUGUUACCCUCUCGGCUCGCUAAAAUGGUCACAUCACCUACAACUGCAUCAUAGUCCUGGCUCAAGCAAACAUUGAUUAUUCCAGUAUGUAUAGUUGAUUGUAAUAGCAGAAAAUAGAUAUCGAAGUCCCAAAAAGGACCAUGUUAGUAAGAUAUAGAGCCAAAGAGGUUUAUUGGAACAGAGAUUAUAUAUUACCUGAGAAGUGAUCUUGUGAACAAGAUCAUCAUAGUAUGGAAGAGUGAGGGGAUCUUGUAUUGGAGAUGGAAUAAAUUCGUAAGGGAGAGCAUAUGGCAAAGAUAGGAUGACUUCUUUGAAGACAUCUGCACAGAAACCAGUUGCUGUUACUGCUUGUGUUUUUGAAUCUCUUUCCACUUUAAUGAGUUGCUCCAGCCCUCCUUUGAGAGGAACUCCAACCCUUAACUUCUUCCCACUUGUGGGCAUUUCCCAGCCUCUUGGAACAAUAGUUGAUUCACCAGGCCAAAAAAUGGUUCCUAGUUGCUCAUUAUUACACUUAACUGCUGUUUUACCACUGUUUUACUAUUCAUCUUCAGUUUAUGCGAAAUGCCAUCCUUCUCUGUCCAGAAUCCAACGCUUCUCUCUCCUUUCCCAAUUAUAUUCACAAUCUGAUAUGGGAUUGGCUGCAGUUCUCCAUUGAUGAUACGGAAAUCACCACUUAAUCCUUGUUUUAGCACUGUGUUUCGCAUAGAGUCAAUGAGCAGAGAUCCCACUGCUGACGUUCCAAGUGCAUCUAAGUCUGUUAAGUUCUCUCUGGUGUCUGGUUUCUUUAAUUUUGGGAUAGCAGUAGUGCCCACUUUAUCUAUUGCUUCUGCUAAUGAGGUGAUGCUAUCGUAUGCCCAUAGCCCGAAAACAUUGAGUUCUAUUUGGUCCAUGUCUGGAUACUCUUGACGGAAUCUCUUUCUCCAUCUUUUCGUGUAAUUGUUAAGCUGAUUUGAUCUUGGAAUAUAAGGUUUUAUACCAAGAACACCUUGCAUUGAUGACUCAAUGACUGAAUGAUCUACUGAGUCCAGAAGACUCGUUAGCACAUCUGUGAUGAUCCAUGCAUAUCCACUGCUCAUCAUCCCGGCUUCUUUGGCCUUGAGAAAAAGGCGGGAGGCAAGAUAUGGUCGCAAGUGCACGACGAACACCCUGGUCUGCUUUGUAUUCAUAUUGUAUAACUCCUUGAGAAUUUGAUCAUCAUUGGCUGACGGAGAAAUAACACUUCUAUAGGAGACUAAAGUGCUGAUUUCCAGUAAGGCAUCAGUCAAAUGUGGAACUAUCCCGAACCCAUAGGGGCUAUCCUCAUAGAUGACCACAACCUCUCUCCAAUCAAAUUUUUUAACAAGUGCUGCAAUGGCCUUAGUCUGGCUGGAAGAAGGCAGUGCUGCUCUGAUGAAGAAGGGAUUUUCCUUGACUGUAAGUAAAGGACUUGUUGCUGGAGAAAUUAUAGGGACUUUUGUUCUGUUCCCUAAGUCAAUCACAAAAUCAGUUUGUGUUGACAUUUGUGGCCCAAAAAUAGCUUGUACUUGGACAUCCUUUAGCAAGUAUAUGGCUGCACAUACACAAUCAGACAAUAAGAAUUUACCCAAAGUAAGAGUUUAAUAGAAGUGAAUCAUGGAACUGAAUUUACCAGCAGAUGUUGCUUCAACAUCAUCUUUCUUGGAAUCCUUGAUAUGAGGAACUAUCCUUAUGGCACCGCGACUAGUGUUGGCAUGAUAAUCUUCAAGUGCUAGUAAGAUAGAUAUGUGCAUUACUUUUCCCUACAUCUGUUUCCUAGAUCAAGAAUUAUACCCACAUCCACCUUUACAGCACUAGUGUUAUUAUCUUCACCUCUUAUUGGAAUUACAUAGUGGUAAAAGCUAAUGAUGGAGAUAAGUUGAAUGAAAAGAAUUAGAAAGUGGCAUCUUGGAUUAUGCAUUUGAAAAAACUCUGGUAGCAAGUAGUCUGAGAGAUGGGCAACAAGCAGUUGUGCUUGUGCAAGAUAACCACACAUUCAGAAUGAUAAAUUUUCCUAUAAUUAAUAAGACCAAACUCCAUAAAUGCAGAAACAAAAGUCAAAGAACAAAUGGUUGAAAAUCAAGUAUUCG
This 65669-nucleotide long non-coding RNA is filed under the name Solanum tuberosum (potato). Its description in RNAcentral is "long non-coding RNA (STUB_LNC006715)". Lineage: Eukaryota; Viridiplantae; Streptophyta; Magnoliopsida; Solanales; Solanaceae. The record is from RNAcentral.